GUUUUUAUUUUUUGGUAUGUUUCUUUACUUUAUUUUUCAUCUUUAUUUACAGGAUGAAAACGGCAGGUGGAACCCCGAGCUUCUUCGCCGCCACAUCAUCAUGUUGAUCAAGCCAUCGUCGUGGCCUUGACGACGUCCUUGCUUGGGCUCCAGAACCGGAAGGAAAUUUCAGUGUCCGUGGCGCUUACCAUCUCGCCCUUGACGAGCGUCCCAUACAUGCUGCACGAGCAGGGCACCAGACGUCACAAGUACUGUCCGAGGAGCAUUGUGGGGGGUGCUUGCUCGUCCCAAGGUACGCGUCUUUGAGUGGUAUCUUGUCACCAUCUCACGAGAUACAAUGACAAAUAGAGCAAAGAGGAACAUGGAUGUGACUGGCACAUGUUUAAUGUGUGGGGUGAAACGCGAGGAGACCUUCCAUGUAUCUUGUAGAUGUCCUAUGGCGCAGGAUCUGUGGAGGGCGAUGAGCAAUCAUUGGGAAAUGCAAGACCGGAGGAGGUCGAAUUCUGGACCGGAAUGGCUCUUACACCUACUCUACUACAACACCGCACUCAAGAUGAGCGCCCCUGUAUCCUCAUGACGUUGUGAAGGACCUGAUGCGUGCAUAAUGAAGUGGCACACCAUAAGCCGUCACCUCUAAUAGUUGCAUCCCAUAGAUUUUUGAAUAAUUACAUCGACUCAAUGUUAUGCAUCAAACAACACGCAGAAGCUAACAUGAAAAGAGGGAAUGGUACCAUCUGUUGUAUAGGAUAAAUCAUCACAACAACCCACAACGACAUACCACUACUGCUGACAGGCGGAGUGCCACACACGCAUCGUCGAGGUUUUUAUCUGAUGCCAUCAUCAUCACCCCUCCAGAGCCAGUGGCUAUGACUCCGCCAUCAACAACCUCCAAUGUAGCCCUCACCGCAAAACAGGGCGUCGGGUCCAUGUCAGUUUAUGCCAAAUUAUAGAAACACAUGUCCGUCAGCCCUAUAGCCUAGCCUAGAAGUAGGUUGCGGUGCAGCGCACUGUACAAUCAUAUUGUACUACAAAGUAGAUUUUCCCACUAAUCAAUUGACCGGUCAUUGUAUGCGAUACAUGAACAUGCAUUUCCAUGAGUAAACAUUCAAACUGCACAAAGAAAAAUUGUUUCGUGCCUAUAAAUAAUUUUUUUGGUUAAGAAGAAAAAAACACAUCAAAUAUCAAUAUUAGCAUCUAUCAAAAUUUUGGUCACAUUUCAUAUGAGGGGCAAAAAGGUCUUUUCAAGUGUCGCUUAACACUGUUAAGGCUUAAAAUGGACGGAAGUGUUAUAAAGGGCAUAAAAUUUAGACGCGGUGUUAUACAAAGAAGAAAGGUAUUUUUAGUGUCAAGUAGGAAAGAAAAUAUAAGAGAAUGUUUAAUAAGGGAUUCUCUCUUGUUUUAGAGACUACCACCUCCACCCGUUGUUUCUUCUCUGGUUCUGGCACAACAUCUAUCUUCAUAAAGUUUGUACCACGCUUUCUUGAAUCUGGAAUCAACUUGGUUUGUUCCUGGGUAUUCUUUGAUCGGUCUUUUCUCUUGAUGGUGACACACUUGCUCUUAUUUCUACUCUCCCGAGCAUUACCCUCACUUAAGCAUUUUUUAGAAUUUCUUUCUUUUACCCCCGAUUCUUCCUCCACCUCCCUGGUUAUAUAUUUACCUUGCACUUCAGUUGCUUCAUGUUCUGCAUUUUCUCCCUUUGGUUAUCCUAUGUAAGUUUCUUCAACAUUCUCACCCUGCUUUUUUGUUGUCCCUGUGUCAACGACCGCCAGUUCAUGAUUAUUUCCUUCAUUAACUUGCUUGUUCACCGUAUAUUUUAUUUUCUGCUUCACAAUUUGAUCCUAUGUUUCUUUGUUAUAAUCAAGUUUCUUUCCUUUAGCUUGUUCAGUAACUUCAUUUGCAGUUUUCAUAGGGCUGGUAGCUUCCUUUUCGUCGCUUGCUCUUACUCCCAACCCUCCUUCUUGGCUUGUAGAGAUUUUCUUCCAUGGGAUAGCAUCACUGCCUUGCUUACUUCCUCGGCUCCCUCCGCCCUUGUCUAUCCAGAAGCGUGUCGUGUCAUUUGAACUCCUACCUUUCUCCUCAUCGCUAGAGUUUUGCUUAAAAAUCUCAGCUUUCCUCCACCGCCCAUAGUCUCCUUUCCUUGCUUUUACUAGGUUUGUGCAAUUCCUAUCUUGGUGGCCAAUCACACCACAAGCAUAGCAGAAGUCAGGAAGGAACUCAUAUUUAAAAGACACCACAUGCUCAUUUUCCUUCUUGUUCUUCUGCAAUUCAUCCACCUCCUCUAACAAUUAUUUGUCUACUUCCUCCUUCUCAUUCUCAUUUGUCAUAAUUGCUAUCCCUCUCAUAAGAGGUUUAGUAAUAUCUAGUUUGACCUUUAUUCUCAUGAAUUCCCCAGUUGCCAUCUCAUUCUCAUCAACGUCCACAUCUAUGACCUCUCCAAUUUCCCUCUCGAUGGCUUCUCUGUCGGAGUAAAUGACCACGGGUAGCCUAACUGACUCCCUUUGGCCCUCAGAAAAAAACAAUGGGCCGACCGAGCCCUGAAGCAACCAAGACACGGGGCCGCCUUCUUCCGGCCGGCUGGCAGAAGGCGGCCCGGCCAUAAAGAGCCUUUGGAGGACGCCCCGAUAGGGCCGACUCCAAGAAGCCGGCCCCUGAAGGACCGACUCCAAGAAGCCGGCCCCUGAGGGACCGACUCCAAGAAGUCGGCCCCUGGCAGACGGCCGUGGGCCGCGCCCUAAAAGUCCACCCUCCAUAACGGUGACGGGACAGGGCGUGGCUACAGUGGCCCCUGCCACCCCUGAAUCCCGGAACACGCAUGGCUACAGUACGCCGUACAGGGCGGCCAUCUCCUGUCCGGCGAGGCACUGUUGCCAUACAGACUAUGACGCCAUCCAGGACGGGUCGCCAGUACGGCCCGCAGGCGGCGGGCCCCUUCGGUCAGAGAGACAUCCGAAGGCGGCCUGACCUCUCCCAGCCGGCCUGAGGCCGGGCCGGCUUCCUAUAGCCGGCUAGCUUCCCUCCUUGGGGCGCGCGCACCAUUAAGCAGAAAGGAUGAGGUAAGGCUACAGUGAGAGCCCUCAAGGUGGUAGCAUUGUAGCCAUACUUACCUCGACAAAGCCCUCUUCAUCAGAGGCGAGGCAACAGUAACCAGCCCCCGACAAGACCCCCCAAGCGGUGGGGCCGGCCUGUCGACCAAUGGGCCGGCAGCCGGCGGGACCCACCAGUCGGCGGGCCCCAGUAGCCGGCGGACGCAGACGCUGACGGCCUGGACCCACGACCAGCCGGAUUACCAUUGUACCCCCGGGUGGUAGGCCUAUAUAAAUCCCCCGGGACACCCAUGCAAAGGGUUGAUCUCAUAGAGUUUUAGACACCACCAUAGGGAGAGAAGAGAGCUAGCCUUGCCCUUCUUCUUCCCCCCAUCGUACAGCUCAAGGAGCCUCUUGUAGCUUCUUACUGAUCUAGUGAUCAUGCGGAGACCCCGCAAAGCAGGAGUAGGGGUAUUAUCUCCACGGAGAGCCCCCAACCUGGGUAAGAUCCGCCGGCGUGCAUGUCUUCGCCUUAUCCUGUUUCCAGGCACCGGCGAUGUCUUACUGGCUCCCACAAUGAUAAGCCAUCCGUUGGCAUAUAUCGCACCUACCACCCGACAUUUGGCGCCCACCGUGGGGCCAGGUGCACCGUCGUCCGGAGACCUACUCUGGACGGGAACCCUUUUCCUCCCCAGCGAGCGUAGCCAGCCCGGCACGCCCGAUGGCGCUUGCCCCGACGUGCUGCAAAGCGUCGACGACGCCUGCGCGGCGAGCUGCAUCGCCGACCUUCUUGGCGAGACUCGCAUCUCCGACGAGCCCGCGUCCGACACGGGCACAAGCUGCCCCGAGAACCGCCUCGUCAGCCUCCUCGACCAACUCCACGUCUCCGGCGAGCCUACCGCGGACUUGGAGUCGGUCGGCUCCACCGACCCGAUGCUUGUCGACUCCGACACAGCGUCGCUCGAUGCCUUCCCCACCAACAUGAUCAUCUUCGAUGACCCUCUCCCUCGAGCCGACAGUGGCGGCAGCACCGUCACUGAAGUGCCGGUCAUCAGCCACGGCGUCACCUCCGACGAGAAUGCCCGCGACGCCCUGCAGGCUACGCUGCACGAUCUGUCCGUCCCCAUCCCGGCGGACGCUGACGCUGAGACGCUGGAGGCACGCCGCCUUGCCCUCUUUGCGGAGGGCCAGAGGAUUGCCUCCAUGAGACGUCUCAUGGAAGCCCACCAGCGCGAAGUCGACCGCGCCACCUUCGGCACGCCGCCUCCAGAAGGGACAAGCCGAGUCGGCAUCGUUAAGAAAUGCAGCACGGCCAUCGCCAGCAUGCUGGGAGCGGACCGCCCAGUCUAUGCCACGCCCCUCGAGAAUCUACGCGCCGCCCAGUCAAUCGUGGAUGAGCUAAAUGGACUGGGGGCCGACGAGCUCCCCUACAUGAUCAGACGCAUCCAACAGCUGAUCGACGCGGCCGCAGAGCGGCACAAAGCCGGCGUCCGAGCUGGAAGCCCUCCUCGUCGAGAGCACGACGCGACGUCGCGUACGCCGACUGCGGGUGGCGCCCGCACAAGACAAGAGAAGGAGUCGGCUGCUAGCCGCAGCCGGACUCGAAUCACCAUCGAGCGCGACGCUGAAGGCCGUCCCCGAUGUGUGGAACGACAAGGCGACCCGCCUCCUCCUCCGCCUCGCGGGGAAAGAUAUCACACCCCGCCGCCUGUCGAGCAUCCGACUCUCAGCGGCCGACUUGGUCGCUGCGAAGGAGUCGGCAAGAAUGAUGCCCGCCACCGGAUCGACCGCCUCACAUGAUCCCUGGCCCUGGAAGAAGAAGAAGAUGUUGGCCCACCUUGCUUCGCCCCCACAUCCGCGACGAGCCCUUUCCCAAAGGGUUCUCGCUGCCAAGAGACACGCCCAAGUACAACGGAUCCGUGAAGCCGGAAGAUUGGUUGAUCGACUACUCCACCGCCGUUCGCAUAACAAACGGCAACAGACGUGUUGCCGUGAAAUAUGUCCCCCAGAUGCUUCAAGGCACGGCGCGCACCUGGCUCAACAGCCUCAAGCCUUACAGCAUCAACAACUGGCUGGACUUCACCGAAGCCUUCAUACGCAACUUCACCAACACCUACAAACGGGCUCCCAAGCCCCGACCGCUCUCCUUGUGCAUACAAGGGCCCAACGAAUCGACACGCGACUACCUCACGCAUUGGGCUGAGCUCCACAACUCCUGCGAAGGGGUGCACGAGGUUCAGGCCAUAGAGUACUUCACCGCCGGGUGCCGCGAGGGCACUCUCCUCAAGCACCGACUCCUCUGCGACGAGCCGGCAACCCUCGAUGAGCUACUGAUUAUCGCGGACAAGUAUGCCACGGCCGACUCUUCAAUGAAGACUGAGCUCCGGGUAGACGCCUCGGGAAAGGUGCUGGCGCCGGCUCCCAAGACGCCGGCUGGAGAAUCAAGCCGGCGCCCGUAUCAAAGCGACCACAAUCGCAAGGCCCCUAUGCCGCCUUCCACAAGCCGGCAGGUGGCUACGGUCGAAGAAGAGCAGCCCGAAGGACGGCUGGCUCCCAAAAAGCAGAAGGGCGGCAGGCCGGCUUGGCAGCCGGCUUUCUCCUACGAGCAAACUCUCGACGCCCCCUGCAAGUUCCACAGCGGUGCGAAGCCGUCCAACCACACAACUCGGAAGUGCCAUUGGCUCACCCGAAUCUCCAAGGGCGAGGGGCUGUUGCCGCCUCUGCCUGCAGGCCAGCCGCCUCCUGCGCCGCAGCACCCGACUGCUCGGCCAGCAGUCGGAGCUAUCCAAGACGAGUUCCUCGAUGAGCAAGCCGCCUACGUCGUGUUCACCAGCCAGACAGAAGAUUGGCGCACCCGGCGCUGACAGCAGCAAGAAGUCAACGCGGUCGCCUCCAGUAACCCCGAGUUUAUGCACUGGUCGGAGAGGCCCAUCAGCUGGAGCCGGGACGACCACCCAGAGGUGAUGCCGUCUCCUGGCUCCUAUGCCUUGGUUUUGGAUGCCACCCUGGUGACAGAAAGGCGUGCCGCCCGUUUCUCCCGCAUGCUGAUAGAUGGCGGGAGCAGCAUCAACAUACUGUACUGAGAUACAAUGGAGAAGCUCAACAUCAAGCUGAAGCAACUCAUGCCAAGCCAGACUGUGUUCCAUGGCAUCGUACCCGACCUGUCCUGCUCACCAAUCGGCAAGAUCAAGAUGGAUGUCCUCUUUGGGGGCAAAGAUCAUUUCCGCCGAGAGGCAAUAUGGUUUGAGGUAGUGAAUUUGGAGAGCCCGUACCACGCAUUGCUUGGCCGACCAGCGUUGGCCAAGUUUAUGGCUGUGCCCCACUACGCCUACCUCAAGAUGAAGAUGCCGAGUUCCAAGGGCAUUAUCACCAUAGCCGGAGACUAUAAAAAGUCUUCUGAGUGCGCAGCAGCCAGCAGCCGGCUGGCCGAGUCCCUCGUGAUCACCGAAGAGAAGAAGUUGCUGAAUCGAGUUGUGGCCUUGGCUGGCAAGCAGCCGACCCUGUCUCCUGACCCCAAAGAAUGUGAAGCCCAAGGUUCUUUUCAGCCGGCCAAGGAGACAAAGAAGAUACCCCUAGACCCGGAGCACCCGAAGAGGUACGCUAUCAUGGGCAUAGGCCUUGACAGCAAAUAGGAAGGCGAGCUCGCCGAUUUCCUCCGUGAGAAUUGGGACAUCUUUGCAUGGUCUCCCAAACACAUGUCGGGUGUUCCGGCGGAUUUCGCCGAGCACAAACUACACGUCCGACCUAACGUCAAGCCGGUCAGGCAGCCCUUGCGCCGCCUGUCAGAAGAGAAGAGAAGAGUUGUCGGCAAAGAGAUAGCCGGGCUCCUAGCAACCGGAUUCAUUAUGGAAGUGUUCUUUCCCGAAUGGCUGGCCAACCCAGUCUUAGUGUUGAAGAAAAACAAGCAAUGGCGCAUGUGUAUUGACUACACCAGCCUCAACAAAGCCUGCCCUAAAGAUCCAUUUGCCCUGCCAAUGAUUGACCAAGUGAUAGACUCCACAGCCGGAUGUGAGCUGUUGAGUUUUUUGGAUGCUUAUUUAGACUACCACCAGAUAAAGUUGGACCCAGCUGAUCGCUUGAAGACCGCCUUCAUCACCCCAUUCGGAGCUUUCUGCUACCUGACCAUGACAUUCGGCUUGAGAAAUGCCGGUGCCACCUUUCAGCGUUGCAUGCAGAAAUGCCUCCUCAAGCAACUCGACAGAAAUGCCAACGUCUACGUAGAUGAUGUCGUGGUGAAGACGGAAGAGUGAGGCACCCUGCUGGAAGACCUCAAGGAGACCUUUGAGAAUUUGCGCCGGUUCCAGAUCAAGCUCAACCCGGAGAAGUGUGUGUUCAGGGUACCAGCCGGCCAGCUUCUGGGCUUCCUGGUCUCCGAACACGGCAUCGAAUGCAACCCAGUGAAGAUCAAGGCCAUAGAGAGAAUGAAGAUUCCUACCAAGCUGCGAGACGUCCAAAAGUUCACCGGAUGCCUGGCAUCCUUGAACCGCUUCAUGAGCCGGCUCGGAGAAAAGGCGCUCCCCCUCUACCGACUCAUGAAGAAGUCCACUCACUUUGGGUGGAAUGACCAGGCGGACCAAGCUUUCCACGAGUUGAAGAAGAUGUUGUCCACCCCGCCUGUCUUGGCGGCCCCAACUGAGAAGGAGCCCAUGUUCCUCUACAUUGCCGCCACCAGCCGGGUGGUCAGCACAGUCAUCGUGGUCCAACGUCCAGAAGAAGGCCGAGCUCAGCUAGUCCAGAGGCCAGUAUAUUAUUUGAGCGAAGUAUUGUCCACCUCAAAGCAGAACUGCCCGCACUACCAGAAAAUGUGCUAUGGUGUGUACUUUGCCUCCAAGAAACUCAAGCCCUACUUUCAAGAACAUCCCAUCACGAUCGUAUGCACUGCCCCGCUUGCCGAGAUCAUAGGCAGCCGGGAUGCAUCCGGCCAAGUGGCAAAAUGGGCCAUUGCGCUGACUCCUUACACAAUCUACUAUCAGCCCCGCACCGCCAUCAAGUCCCAAGCAUUGGCCGACUUCCUCGUCGACUGGGCCAAGACCCAGUACCUGCCACCAGCCCCCGACUCCAGUCAUUGGCAGAUGCAUUUUGACGGAUCCAAGAUGUGCACCGGCUUGGGAGCCGACAUCGUCCUCACCUCUCCCAAGGGCGACAAACUCAGAUACACAUUGCAAAUCCACUUUGCUGCCUCCAACAAUGUGGCCAAGUACGAGGCGCUCAUACACGGGCUCCGGCUAGCCAAGGAACUCGGCAUCCGCCGGAUCCUGUGUUAUGGCGACUCGGACUUGGUGGUUCAGCAGUCAUCUGGCGACUGGGACGCUAAGGAUGCAAACAUGGCAAGCUACCGUUUCCUCGUUUAGCAGAUCACCGAAUACUUCGAGGGGUGCGAGUUCCUUCAUGUGCCACGGGCCGACAAUGAACAAGCACAUGCCCUGGCACGAAUAGGCUCCACCCGACAAGCUAUACCAACCGGCGUCACCCUCCAACGCCUCCUCAAGCCAUCUGUCAAGCCGUCUCCGGAAUCCAAUUCCAUCUUCGUGCCGCCUGACCCCGACGCAGUCGGAUCCGACUUCAGGGACCAACCAGGCGGCCCGGGGACUUCGGCAGCCGGCUCGGGGACUGCCAUAGUCGAACCCGGCCCGGGACUGUAGCAACACAGCAGGCAGAGGCCGACUCCAACUCCUCACAACCCAGCCCGCCCACCCUGGUUGCACUAGCUGUUUUGGAAAUCGAAGAAGUCAUAGCUCCAUCAUGGGCUCAACCCAUCCUCCGUUUUCUGAUAAACGGAGAGCUGCCGACUGACGAGAUCUUGGCAAGACAAGUCCAACACUGAGCCGGAGCUUACACAAUAAUGAACUGAGAGCUAGUUCGGCGCAGUGCUACCAGAGUCUUCCAGCGCUGUGUCGAGCCAGAGAAAGGCAUAGCAAUCCUCGAAGACAUCCACCAAGGCGAAUGCGGCCACCACGCCGCCUCUAGGGUGCUCGUCGCCAAGGCCUUCCGCCAUGGAUUUUUCUGGCCGACUGCUUUGGAGGAUGCCAAGGAACUAGUCAAACACUGCAAAGGGUGCCAAGUCUUCGGCUCCAAGCAACACAUGCCGGCUUCUGCACUCAAGACCAUCCCCAUCACUUGGCCUUUUGCUGUCUGGGGGCUGGACAUGGUCGGCCCAUUCAAGACAGCGCGUGGCGGCAUGACACAUUUGCUUGUCGCCGUGGACAAAUUUACCAAAUGGAUUGAAGCAAAGCCGAUCAAGAAACUGAACGGGCCGACUGCCUUGACAUUCAUUGCAGACAUUACAACCCGGUAUGGAGUACCACACAGCAUCAUCACCGACAAUGGCACGAAUUUUGCCAAGGGAGCACUGACACGUUUCUGCGUGACACAGGGCAUCCGGACUGGACUUAGCGUCCGUUGCUCACCCGCAGUCAAACGGCCAGGUCGAGCGAGAAAACGGCCUCAUCCUCUCCGGCAUCAAGCCCCGACUGGUUGUGCCACUGGAGCAUUCGGCCGGCUUCUAGCUCGACGAGCUGCCGGCCAUCCUUUGGAGUCUGCGCACUACCCCAAACAAGUCAACCGGCUUCACCCCCUUCUUCCUUGUAUAUGGUGCCGAGGCGGUCAUCCCAACUGACAUCAAGUUCGACUCACCUCGGGUCACCAUGUACACAGAGGCGGAGGCCAAGGAAGCACGAGAAGACGGUGUCGACUUGCUGGAAGAAAGCCGGCUGUUAGCCCUCAGCCGGUCUGCCAUCUACCAGCAAGGUCUGCGCCGUUACCACAGUCGGAGGGUCAAGCCAAAAGCUUUCCAAGAGGGAGACCUUGUGCUCCGGCUGAUACAGCGAACAGCCGGCCAGCUCUCGGCUCCUUGGGAAGGCCCCUUCGUCAUCAGCCGGGCUCUGGGAAACGACUCCUACUACCUAAUCGACGCGCAAAAGCCGAAGGCGCGCAAGAGAGACGACUCUGGCAAGGAGAACGUCCGUGGAAUGCCAAUCUUCUCCGAAGAUUUUACAGUUGAAAUGCAGUAUGUAUCACGCUACCUUUUGUAUUAAGUAUGAGACAACGGGCUCUGUCGGGGAUAUACCCCGUGGUAUGAUCCGGCCGGACUUGGCGAUUCACCAGAAGACCCGGCUGGAGCGUGGUGACUCACUGGUGACCCGCCUGGAGCUUGGCGAUUCACAGAUAACCCACCCAAUAUUGCCGACUCAUUAGUAACCCGGCGGGCGGGUCAGAUGGACAACAAGGCCCAAAGCCUAGAAGGCCGGCUCACGUUAUGAUGGGCCGGCUUAAGAGGAAAGGGAUGACAAAUAUUUCCUUUAUGAGGAAGCAAGACCCGGACUUGUAUUUAACUUGUAAGAGAAGAUAGACUAGUCCUAGUCCUACUAGGACUCCACAUGUAACCCGCCCCUCUAACUUAUAUAAGGAGGGGCAGGGCUCCCCAAGGAGGGAACAAAAACAAUAUCUAGAGCUAGACACAAAGGGGGAGCCGGCUUAUGCGGCGACUCUCGAUGAGCAUAAUGAGACCUAGCCUCAAACAGCAUGUAGGGCUAUUCCGGAUGAUGUUUCCCGGGGCCCGAAGCUGUCUAAAUCCUUGUCUUGUCUGUUGCAUCUCUCGUCCCGAUCAACCCCUCUCAAGCUACCGCAUAGAUGCGUUGGCCUCGCGACUAAGUCCUGACACUAAGUGUCAGGACCCCGACUCAAUGCCACAUCGAUCUAGCAUGUAACACCUCAUAUCACUUUGCGGCCUCACGCACGGUAUUCCCACGGGUGUCGCCUUACCUUAGCCCGGGACCGUUUGCGCCUUUUGGCACACGUAUAUGACAGUGCCGCUAGCAUCCAUAUGAUAAGGAGCCCGGGCUGACAUGGCUAGUCGUAAACCCAAAGUGGCACAGACUUACAGGGACAGGCAUCCAUGACCCAGCAUCGAACGUGUCGGUCAUCAGCGAGUGAAUCCAGGCUGUAGCACUGGGCUAGCAGGACUCCGGUGAACCGGGCUAUAGCAGGCUAACAGGACUCCGGUAUUCAUCGCGUGACAUUUCCCCGAAGGGACAGACACAGGAACGAAGAAGGACACAUGCCGGCCAGCCUAAGUGUUCCAGAGCAGUAGCAAGCUACCAUGGCUCGGUGGAAACACUAGGAGACAUUUCCCGGUAAGAGAGGCUACUAAAGAUAAACAACUAGAUAGUCAGAUCCCACACAUACCAAGCAUUUCAAUAACAUACACACAAUAUGCUCGAUAUGUGCAAUACAACAUGGCAUCACAAAAUGACUCUACGACUCAAGUAAUUUAUUCAAUAGGCUCCGAGGAGCGAGAUAUUACAAACAUGGGUCUCAUGACCCAACAAUCAGAGCAUACAAAUCAAAGCACAAGCGGAAGCUAUCAUGUCUGAGUACAGACAUCUAUAAAUGAAAAAGGCUGAGAAGCCUGACUAUCUAUCAGAUCCUGCCGAGGGCACAAGAUCGUAGCUGAGGUAUCAAGCUAAACGUCGAAGUCCACGCGGAACUACUAGUGAGACUGAAGUCUCUCUGCAAAACAUAAAAUAGGCAAACGUGAGUACAAAUGUACCCAGUAAGACUUACAUCAGAUCUAUCUACAUAUGCAUCAUUGUCAACAAGGGGGUGGAGGGGUUUGACUGCAGCAAGCCAGCUUUGACUCGGUGGCUAUCCUGAACUACGACUGCAAGUAACUCUUUUGAGGUGGCGCACACGAGUCCACAUAUUCACCAACCAAUACACCACUAUGGAUCCGCUCCCGUCUCCCUACGAGAACGCCAUCCAUAGCACUCACGCUUAUCUUGCGUAUUUUAGGGUAUCCACUUUCACUUGUCUAUGAACUGAUAUAAGCAACCCAGAAGUCCUUUACCGCGGACACGGCUAUUCGAAUAGAUGAUGUUAACCCUGCAGGGGUGUACUUCUUCAUACAUGUUUCCACCACUUAGCGUCUGCACACGACAUGUGCUCGGCAGACUUCAAGCGAAAGCCGACGUGGGUGUAGACCACGACCUACCUAAACACUCAAGUCUCUAGUCCAGGUUUAUCGCCUAUUCGGGUUCCAUCCAUGAGGAGAUCCGGCCGGAGUUUCGCUCACAGCCCCAAACGAUGUGAACAGGGUUCCGUGACACCAAACGGGCGCCCGGUAUACCCGGCCACGUGCCUACCGCAUCACAGCCCACCCCUACGGUCAGCGCUGUCCAUGGCCUCCAGCAUACUACAAGCACCAGAAACUACUUGCAACUCCUGGACAGAGGACAAGGGUGAAUAAGAAGUCGAGCGGGGUCAUAUUUCAGGGCCCAAUGUAUGGUAGUAGCUGAAUCAUGGAUCACAAACACAGAACUCAGUUCCUGAGGACGGCUUCAAUGAGACAACCCACCAUGUACUCCUACAUGGCCUCUCACCGACACCUUUUACCAAAUCGUGUUCACACACUUAGCUCACACACAGUAGGACAUGUUCACCCGCCUCUGAUUCAUCCCCGAUGAAUCAGACCCGACUCAACUCUAAGCAGUAGCAGGCAUGACAAACAAGCAUGAAUGAGUAGGCACAAUAGGGCUCAAACAACUCCUACUCAUGCUAGUGGGUUUCAUCUAUUUACUGUGGCAAUGACAGGUCAUGCAAAGGAUAAAAGGGGUUCAGCUACCGUAGCAAGUAACAGAUGAAUCGGUGUUGUCCUAAUGCAUUAAAAGAGAGCAGGAGCGAGAGAGUAGGAUUGUAUCGGAAUGAACAAGGGGGUUUUGCUUGCCUGGCACUUCUGAAGAUAACAUUGAGUCUUCAUCAGUGUCAACGAUCACAUCAUCGGUAUCACGUCUAUCGAGAGGGGACAAUACCGGCAACACAGAAGGGAACACAAUCAAUGCAAUGCACAAUAUGAUGCAUGCUCAUGACAUGGCAAUAUGGAUGUGUUUUGAGCUAAUGCAACUAGCAACAGAUUAAAUGAAGUUGGUUUGAAUACAAGAUUCAAAUUCAAACUCCAUAUGUGAUUAUUUAAAUGCCCUUUAUUUGUUUUGUGCUAAACAGCAUCUAUAAGUUGUUCUAACAUGCAUGAAAAUGGUACAGAUGGAUUCCUUGAAUUUUUUUGAUAAUUUUUCAUAUAUAAAUUAUUUAAUUUGGAGUUACGGUUAAUUUUCUAUGAUUUUUAGAAGUUUUAGGUAUUUUCUGGAAUUUUCUGAUUUAUUUUAAAUCCAGAAAAUCAUUUAAUGCGUCAGCAUGACAUCAUCUUGACGUCAGCAGGUCAACAGGGCGCCUCCAGGUCAAACCUGACAUGUGGGGGCCACACGUCAGUGACACAGGGUUGUUUAACCCACUGACAGGUGGGGCCGGGUCAAAGGCCACGUCAGCACGGUCAAGCUGACGCGUGGGGCCACUGUGAUUAAUCUAAACUAACAGAAGUUUAAGCCGUGGUUAAUUAAGGGCGUGGGGCCACUGUCAGUGUCACAAAGCGGUGGUUAGUGGCUAAUUAAGCCAGCCACGUCACUGGCCACCGGAGUUCGGCCGGCGGCGACCCGGAACGCGGCGGAAAUUCACCGGGGUUGCGCUACGGGCGACGGCUGGACGCGCGAAGGGCACCAGAAGGUAGCCCGUGCCCGUGCACAUCUAGGGGGGCCAACGGGAGGUGCGGGGGUGGCCGGGGUUCGCCGGAAUGGAGCCCGAGGCGGCGGCCGGAGCUCGGGUGGGUGCGGAGUUAGCGCUGCGGCUUGCAAACAAGCUAGCUGCCACGCUAGCGUUGCUCCACGGGUCGUUGCGAGUGCAACGGACGCACGCGCGGGGCCAUUUGGUCACCGGGGCUUCACCGGCGACGAGCCCGUGCGGCGGAGCGUCUCGGCUCCGGUGGAGGGAGCGGCUAGGGGGUGAAUUAAGCAACGAGGCAUGGGGGAAACGAUGCAGCGGCUCACCGCGGUUCUUCUGGUGCUGCUGGCGAGGCAGGGGAGGCACGAGGUCCGGCGAAUCGACGGAGGGGAGCUUCGGUGGCCGGCGACGGAACGGCGAUGGUGGCGGCGUUGCAGGGCUUCCGGAGGGCCGUGGGUCGGUGGGGAGGAAGGAGGGGGUCGAGGCGGAGCUCCCUGGGCGUCGGUGAGGCGUGGGGAGCACGGUGGCUGCGGCAAUCGGCGUCGGUGGCGGCGGCUCCGCUCGGGUCCGAGGUGCGGAGCGAGAGGGAGAGCAGGAGAAGGGGAUGAGCACGGGAGGGAGUUGAGGGAGGCCUGAGGGGGUGCGUGGCAUCCUUAGCCGAUCCGGGGCGGGGCGGCAAGUAGGAGGUGGCUCGGGCGCGUGCGCGCGCGCUCCGGCCACGCGCCUCUGUCCUACUAUCCCGAGGAGGAAGACGACAGGGAGGGCGCUGGUGGGCUGGGCCGGCCAGGGGGGGGGAGCUGGGCCGGCUGGUGGGCUGCGCGGGUGAGGCCAGGUAGGCUUUACUCUUUUUAUUUUUUUUCUCUCUGUUUUGUUUUAACUCUGUUUUCUAUUUUGCAGGUUUGUUUUGAAUUUGGUUUUGAAACCAAUUCAAUUUAUUUUGCUUCUGACAAUAUUUUUAGGAGCUAAAAGAAUUAAAACAAUGCUCCACAAAAAUAUUUCAGAAUUAUUGGACCUAUAUUUAUUUAACAGUAGAUAUAAGUCCAAUUCAAAUAGCUAUGAUUUAAAUUCAAAGUCCCAAAAAUAAAUCCUUAAAAAUGUUCAAUAUUUUGGUUGGGACCAGAACCCUUACCAAAAAUUAUCAAACAUUUAAGAAGAGCCUUUUGGAGCAAUGAAUGAGAUUUCUAGGGUUUUUGCCCCUCUUUUAUUUAAGUUUUUGAGGCUUCCAAAAUUCCCUCAGUUCAAAUUUUCAGAAUUUAAACAUGAUGCACACAUGAGCUAGCCUAGAGCACUACCAGCAGCUAGGGAUGUGACAACUCACCCCCACUAAACAAGAAUCUCGUCUCGAGAUUCAAGCGUAGGGUAAGAUGAAGGGGAAACGCAAACUAGUAUAAUCUUCACGAUCCAGGUUGCACUUCAUAGGAACGUUGAUUCGAUCACCAUCAUUGUCCUGUCGUCUUGCUCUGAGAACUCCAACUAGCAUGACGAGAAGAGGAAAGGAAAACUCUAGAAGAAUCUAUCUUCUCGAAGAUCAAUCAAUUUAGGAUCAGCUCACAAAGUGAGUCCUAGCAACAUCUCUUGAGCUGAGACACGAAGCAUACAUCUGAAGAGAUGGAGUGAGACAGAUGACGAGGGCUCGCUAAGUAGACAACAAUUUUCACACUUAAGACGGUGGUGAACGGUUGUCAACGUAGCGAGGAGUUGAGUUGCCAUGAUACCACGACGAAACAUCCUGGAGGAGGGUGAUUCGUAGAUUAUUUCCUUAGGUGGCAAAAAGAAUUACCUUGGAUUCAGAGAUCAUUGAAAACCUUUAUACCAGCCUAAGGCAAUUCUCAAGCGAUCGUUUGGAGGGGGUCAGUAGAAUGGCAUACUCGGACUUGGGUGAUGUGGAUUACCUUGUUGAAGACAACGCAAUGGAUGAAUUUGCUUAUCACCGGAAAUGGAAGAGACCCAUGGUAGAAUGGCACAUUGGUGGUGCAAGCUGGGAACAAAAUGCAAAUGCUGGGAAUGAUUCUGGUAACUGGGGAAGAACCCCACAAUAGGGAGUGAAUUCACUGUUUGAAAGGUCAUAGCAUUGUCGAGGAAACUGAGAGCAAACCCAGUUAGCGCCGAUGAUAACACGUAGCGCUUGGGCGUGCUCUCAAGAACUUGAGCAUUUCCACAUUCAUCAAGGUUUUACCAAUAUCCGUGUCAAGGAUCCUGGCAACACAACCUACUACCAUGAUGAAUGGUGAUGGAGGAUGCAGAUGCAAAGGAAGAUAACACCUUCUCAAAUUUCACCCUUGGCGGGGCCAAGGAAAUAAAAUCUGGAUGAUCGACCGAGAGACAUUUAGCACUCCGCUUCUAAUGUUCUCCUUGAUGUGCUAGCGUAACCCAUUCAUAGAUAUGGUUUGAUAACUAGAACAUCAAGUAAAAGGUCGGACUUUGGGAGCAAUAGAAUCCAUAAGGAACAGUUACAGAGGUAAAUCCUACGAAAUCCUUAUGGGAAGGUGGCCAACUUCUUCAAUCAAGAUACUACAAUAAUAGGUCUUUCGGCUGGGUGUGUUGGCCACGACAUCCACCUUACCGGUUAUCGAGGGACCAAUAUUAUAGUUCUUGGGAAAUGUUCCAACCAUCAUAUCUGCCUGAGAUUCAGAUCUGGUUGGUGUCAGGAUAUUCCAGACUCAUCGAGUCUAGGAAGAAAAAUGAAAGUUUGCAACACAAAUCGACGAGAUGACGUUGCGGGAUUCUCGGGAGAAGAACUACGAUAGCAAGCUCCAAAACAUGAGCUGGUUCUGCUACAAAUAUGUGAACACGUUGUCCCAGACAAGCAUGCCCAUAUGGUAGUCUUACAAUAAAACACUAACGAGUUCUGGUUGGGAGCCAUCAGCGAGGAUAUCGAAGUUCUUUCAUAAGUCCGAAUUAGCUCUUAUGAAGGAACUCCUUCUCCUUGAACAAAUCAAUCAGUGGCUUGGUGUGCUAGGAUAUACAUAUAGAAUGGAGGUUGCAAAUCUCCAGACCACAGAAUACUUCGCACGUAUGCAUGACUGACUUGGGAUGAUUCCAGAGGAAGCAAAACUAACUUUCUCAAAUUCACGGCGGCAACUUCCACCAAAUGCACGUGUAUAAGAGGAAGUCACUCCUUUCAUCAAACAAUUACUUCAUGAGCUAGCAUGAAGAAAAUGCCUUCAAAAGUUUCCAACACUAGCUUAAUGUUCAACAAAAUCAUGGAGGAGAUAAGGAUGUUGUCAAUGGGCUCAACAACAAUUCUUUCGGGUUUCCUUUUAAAAGGAAUUCCAUAGUUAAGUGAACAAGUGAUAGCAUUGGUCAGACCCAAAAGAUAUAAUGGUGUAUGCUCGAGGGAUCAACCACGAGUAAGACAACAUUACGAAUAUCGUUGGUUCUGGUCUGAUUGGAUGAUAGCCCAUACUCCAAUCAAAGGUUAGAUAAAAAUGAUAGGUCCAGCAACUGAUCACAGGGACCAAUCGAUGAAGAUAUCAUCUUUCUUCAACACACACUACACAAGAUUAUCCCUUUGGAACGAACUAAGUCAGGCAAGCUUUUAUCUUCCAACCCUCCAAGUUGUCGUUUAGCUUAACCAACUAGCUCAGGGAUAUCUAACACCGAUUCUUGGAGAGAAGGUGGAUCACAAUAAACCAACUUGAUCACGAGCUCAACAUAGCGGUCAGGUGACAACCUGGUAAUACUUCUGAGAAGAUCUUCGGAAAUCACGAACCACCGAUAUGUUACUAAGCUCGAGAACAAUCUCGCUUUUGAGGGCAAGACGAUAUGAUCAAAUGAGUGAGGACUUGACAAGAUCCUAACUCAUCAAUCAAAGGGUGCACCGAAAUAGGGACUAGGUAGCACAAUCAGUCUUAGGGUGACGAUUCAACAAUCAACACGCUAAGAACGAGGUUAUCGUCCAUUUAACUACCAAGCAUUAGAGUUGCUAGCAGUAUUGACUUUAUACACCAUAAUUCAUUUGUCGGCAUUCCGGUUACAAUAACACAGGAUCCGAGGAAUGAACAAUGAUGGCAAGAAGUAUCACUGUACCAAGAGUUCAUAGGAUGGCGUGCAAUUCCUAUAACAAUCUCGAUAUAAAAUAAGGUAAUACUCCAAGGUAGAACAGAACAAAAGCUGGAUUAGCAAUUUGAUCUGCGAAGCACAGCUUCUUUGACCCAAUCCUGGAUAUGGAAGAGGUACUGGAGUUUGUUUCUCCUAGUCAUUCCGGAAUAGAAUGGCUUGACAGACCACAAGAGUCAUAGGCAUCGAUGAACGAACGCACGCAUACUCUUGACUAUCAAUUGAUAGACGAGGGUCAGAAUGCAACUAAAGAGAACAACUCAAAGGAACAUACAAUUUUCUGAGUUGUGGAUGCAUGGAUUAGUAUGUCGAACGAGUUCGACAUAUUUCUUCCGGAUAACCCACGCAGAAAGGUAGAACAGACAGAGUCACAAUAUAUAAUGGAGAACUCAUCAAGAGCACUCUUGUUGUCAUCUUUUGGUUCAGAAGAACUCCUGCCAAGAAUGGUUCAUGGUAAUUGGAAGAAGGAUGUACCACGAACCUCGAGGACUAUCGCAAAGUUACUAAUAUCCUGAAGGAACUAGCAAACACUAUCAACAUGAAGUAAGUAGAGUGAAUCUCGGGUUCAAGAACCCAGGAACAGAAUACCUAUUACUAAGUAGCAUCACGGGAUGCUUUCGAGGAUAAAGGCCAGAAUCAUCACACUGGGACACCAAUCAUGGCUAAAUUACUAGAUGAUCCCCUAAGACACCUAGGGUCAUAGUAAUAACUCCAACAUAAAGGUCGAGGCAGUAGAGUACCUCGACUCAACAAUUAGUGUGAUUGAGCUGGCAUAAAGGAACAUCGAAACCAGAGGGAAAGGAUUUUGCAAAUGCAUCAGACUAUUUAGAAACCUGGGAUGACUCGGACAGCAUAACGGUUGUAAAUGCUCAGAAAAGAUUUGAGACAUUCACAAAAGGGUGGCAUAGCCACUCAGAAGCACAAUAUCAAGGUCUCGAGAUCAAUAAUUAACAUACAGAGGUAGAAACUGAACUGAGGCUUAAUUCCAACAAUUCUAUAAGUCUACUGAUUAGUAACACGUGAUCCUAAUAGAAAGAAGAGAUAGCCUAGUUCUUAACCCCGUAGGAAAGAAGAUGAUGACUCAGAUCAGAAGGCCAUGAGGUAUAAGGAGUAAAAAGAGCCUUACGUUCCAUCCCACAAUCAAUUCCCUUAUAUAACUAAAGAAUUUCUAGGCUCAACUUCGACCAGUUUGGCUUGGUAAUCCUACAGGCAGUCAAGCUCUGAUACCAACACUGUCAGGACCCCGACUCAAUGCCACAUUGAUCUAGCAUGUAACACCUCAUAUCACUUUGCGGCCUCACGCACGGUAUUCCCACGGGUGUCGCCUUACCUUAGCCCGGGACCGUUUGCGCCUUUUGGCACACGUAUAUGACAGUGUCGCUAGCAUCCAUAUGAUAAGGAGCCCGGGCUGACAUGGCUAGUCGUAAACCCAAAGUGGCACAGACUUACAGGGACAGGCAUCCAUGACCCAGCAUCGAACGUGUCGGUCAUCAGCGAGUGAAUCCAGGCUGUAGCACUGGGCUAGCAGGACUCCGGUGAACCGGGCUGUAGCAGGCUAACAGGACUCCGGUAUUCAUCGCGUGACAUUUCCCCGAAGGGACAGACACAGGAACGAAGAAGGACACAUGCCGGCCAGCCUAAGUGUUCCAGAGCAGUAGCAAGCUACCAUGGCUCGGUGGAAACACUAGGAGACAUUUCCCGGUAAGAGAGGCUACUAAAGAUAAACAACUAGAUAGUCAGAUCCCACACAUACCAAGCAUUUCAAUAACAUACACACAAUAUGCUCGAUAUGUGCAAUACAACAUGGCAUCACAAAAUGACUCUACGACUCAAGUAAUUUAUUCAAUAGGCUCCGAGGAGCGAGAUAUUACAAACAUGGGUCUCAUGACCCAACAAUCAGAGCAUACAAAUCAAAGCACAAGCGGAAGCUAUCAUGUCUGAGUACAGACAUCUAUAAAUGAAAAAGGCUGAGAAGCCUGACUAUCUAUCAGAUCCUGCCGAGGGCACAAGAUCGUAGCUGAGGUAUCAAGCUAAACGUCGAAGUCCACGCGGAACUACUAGUGAGACUGAAGUCUCUCUGCAAAACAUAAAAUAGGCAAACGUGAGUACAAAUGUACCCAGCAAGACUUACAUCAGAUCUAUCUACAUAUGCAUCAUUGUCAACAAGGGGGUGGAGGGGUUUGACUGCAGCAAGCCAGCUUUGACUCGGUGGCUAUCCUGAACUACGACUGCAAGUAACUCUUUUGAGGUGGCGCACACGAGUCCACAUAUUCACCAACCAAUACACCACUAUGGAUCCGCUCCCGUCUCCCUACGAGAACGCCAUCCAUAGCACUCACGCUUAUCUUGCGUAUUUUAGGGUAUCCACUUUCACUUGUCUAUGAAUUGAUAUAAGCAACCCAGAAGUCCUUUACCGCGGACACGGCUAUUCGAAUAGAUGAUGUUAACCCUGCAGGGGUGUACUUCUUCAUACAUGUUUCCACCACUUAGCGUCUGCACACGACAUGUGCUCGGCAGACUUCAAGCGAAAGCCGACGUGGGUGUAGACCAUGACCUACCUAAACACUCAAGUCUCUAGUCCAGGUUUAUCGCCUAUUCGGGUUCCAUCCAUGAGGAGAUCCGGCCGGAGUUUCGCUCACAGCCCCAAACGAUGUGAACAGGGUUCCGUGACACCAAACGGGCGCCCGGUAUACCCGGCCACGUGCCUACCGCAUCACAGCCCACCCCUACGGUCAGCGCUGUCCACGGCCUCCAGCAUACUACAAACACCAGAAACUACUUGCAACUCCUGGACAGAGGACAAGGGUGAAUAAGAAGUCAAGCGGGGUCAUAUUUCAGGGCCCAAUGUAUGGUAGUAGCUGAAUCAUGGAUCACAAACACAGAACUCAGUUCCUGAGGACGGCUACAAUGAGACAACCCACCAUGUACUCCUACAUGGCCUCUCACCGCUACCUUUACCAAAUCGUGUUCACACACUUAGCUCACACACAGUAGGACAUGUUCACACGCCUCUGAUUCAUCCCCGAUGAAUCAGACCUGACUCAACUCUAAGCAGUAGCAGGCAUGACAAACAAACAUGAAUGAGUAGGCACAACAGGGCUCAAACAACUCCUACUCAUACUAGUGGGUUUCAUCUAUUUACUGUGGAAUGACAGGUCAUGCAAAGGAUAAAGGGGUUCAGCUACCGCAGCAGGUAACAGAUGAAUCGUUGUUGUCCUAAUGCAGUAAAAGAGAGCAGGAGCGAGAGAGUGGGAUUGUAUCGGAAUGAACAAGGGGGUUUUGCUUGCCUGGCACUUCUGAAGAUAACAUUGAGUCUUCAUCAGUGUCAACGAUCACGUCAUCGGUAUCACGUCUAUCGAGAGGGGACAAAUACCGGCAACACAGAAAGGAACACAAUCAAUGCAAUGCACAAUAUGAUGCAUGAUCAUGACAUGGCAAAAUGAAUGUGUUUUGAGCUAAUGCAACUAAAACCAGAUUAAAUGAAGUUGGUUUGAAUCCAAGAUUCAAAUUCAAACUCCAUAUGUGAUUAUUUAAAUGCCCUUUAAUUGAUUUGUGCUAAACAGCAGCUAUAAGUUGUUCUAACAUGCAUGAAAAUGGUACAGAUGGAUUCCUUGAAUUUUUCUGAUAAUUUUUCAUAUAUAAUUUAUUAAAUUUGGAGUUACGGUUAAUUUUCUAUGAAUUUUGGAAGUUUUAGUCAUUUUCUGGAAUUUAUAAAUCAUUUAGGAUUUAUUUAAAUUCUAGAACAAAUACUGCGUCAGCAUGACGUAAUAGUGACGUCAGCAGGGUCAACCGAGCGCCCCAGGUCAAACCUGACGUGUGGGGUCCACACGUCAGUGACACAGGGACUAAUCCCGCGUUGACCCGGGCUGGUUAGCUUUGACUAAGCCCUGGGGCCCACUUGUCAGCGUCAGUAGGUGGGGGGGUUAGUGACUAAUUAACUAAGCCACGUCGACUUCGCCGGAGUUCGGCCGGCGACGACCAAAACUGCGGCGGGAGCUCGCCGGAGUGGCGCUGCGAGGGGUUUUGGGCCAAGCCAAGGGCACCAGAGGGUAGCCCGUGCCCGUGCGCAUCUAGGGGGGCCAUCGGGAGGUGCGGGGGUGGCCGGAGCUCGCCGGAGUGGGGGCCGCAGCGGCUGCCGGAGCUCGGGUUUGGGCGGAGCGAGGUUACGGGGCGCUAGGGGGCUGGCUGAGGGGCUAUGCGGACUCCUGGGGCAGCUAGGAGCACGCUAGGCUCGUCGGUCUGGCCGCAGCAGCACGUCAGUGCCAUGCCCGGCGUCCAUGGCGGACGGCGGCGCUCGGGAAUGUGGCCGGGGUGCUACGGCACGGAAACGAACAAAAUGGAGGAGGGGAAACGGAGUGGAGCUCACAGGGAUCACGCAGGGAGGGUCAGCGAGCUCGGGGGCGCGCCAGAGUGGCCGAAUUCGACGGAGAAGAUCCUCGGCGGCCGGCGAGGGGGAAAACGUCGGGGGCGGCGUUCCGGGGCUCUUCUGGUCGCGUGAGACGACGAGGAGGACGAGGGAGGACUUGCGGAGCUCUGGGAGGCGUCGGGGAGGCGAGAGGAGCACGGUGGCUGCGGCAAUCGGCGUCGGUGGCGGCGGUGGUUCUCGGGUGAGAGGGAGAGAGAGCAGGGGAAGAAGGGGAGGGCGAGGGAGAGUGAGAGCGGUGCGGGGCAGCUGCGUGGCUUCGUCCGGGGCAUCAAGGGAGUCCGGGGGAAGCAGGAGGUGGCCAGCAGGGGGGAGGUGGCGCGCGCGCGUGCCGGCGAGCGUCGGGCACACGCCCUCGUCCUCCUGUCCAGGGAGGAAGACGACAGGGAGGCUGUGGUGGUGGGCUGGGCCAGCGGGAGGAGCUGGGCCGGGCAGGUAAGCAGGUAAGUGGCCCAGGUGGCCGUCUCCCUUUUUAUUUUUGCUCUGUUUUAUUUUUUAAUCAUUGUUUUCUAUUUGUUUCAUCUGUUUUGAUUUAGUUCAAACACUAAAUCAUUUUUGUUUCUUCCAAUAAUUUUUGCAGGGACUGAAAGUAAUAUUCCAGAGCCCCUCACAAAAUAUCAGAAUUAUUGAAGCAUUAAAAAUAUAUAUAACAUAUAUUUGCUCCAACUCAAAUACAAUAUAUAUUAGUUCAAAGAUCCAAAAUGACAUGGAAAAAUGUGCAUCAUCUCUGGUUACUGUUUCCAGCAUUUUUCCAAAAAUGAUGAACAUUUUUGAAAGCCACUUGGAUUGACUGAAAAUAUUUUAGGUGAACCUGGUGAAUUCUUAAAAUGCUAGGGUUUGGACAAUCCCCAUUUCAACUUUCUGUAAAAGUAAACAUGAUGCAUCACCAAAGGCUAGUACUAGUGCAAUGCCAGAAGCUAGGGAUGUGACAAUAACUUUGCGGCCUCACACACGGUAUCUCCACGGGUGUCGUCUUACCUUUUCCCGGGACCGUUUGCGCCUUUUGGCUCACGUAUAUGAUAGUGUCGCUAGCAUCCAUAUGAUAAGGAGCCCGGGCUGACAUGACUAGUCGUAAACCCAAAGUGGCACAGACUUACAGGGACAGGCAUCCAUGACCCAGCUUCGAACGUGUCGGUCAUCAGCAAGUGGGUCCGGGCUGUAGCACUGGGCUAGCAGGACUCCGGUAAACCGGGCUGUAGCGGGCUAACAGGACUCCGGUACUCAAAGCGUGACAUUUCCCCGAAGGGACAGACACAGGAACGAAGAAGGACACAUGCCGGCCAGCCUAAGUGUUCCAGAGCAGUAGCAAGCUACCAUGGCUCAGCGGUAACACUAGGAGACAUUUCCCGGUAAGAGAGGCUACUAAAGAUAAACAACUAGAUAGUCAGAUCCCACACAUACCAAGCAUUUCAAUAACAUACACACAAUAUGCUCGAUAUGUGCAAUACAACAUGGCAUCACAAAAUGACUCUACGACUCAAGUAGUUUAUUCAAUAGGCUCCGAGGAGCGAGACAUUACAAACAUGGGUCUCAUGACCAACAAUCAGAGCAUACAAGUCAAAGCACAAGCGGAAGCUAUCAUGUCUGAGUACAGACAUCUAUAAAUGAAAAAGGCUGAGAAGCCUAACUAUCUAUCAGAUCUUGCCGAGGGCACAAGAUCGUAGCUGAGGUAUCAAGCUAAACGUCGAAGUCCAAGCGGAACUACUAGUGAGACUGAAGUCUCUCUGCAAAACAUAAAAUGGGCAAACGUGAGUACAAAUGUACCCAGCAAGACUUACAUCAGAACUAACUACAUAUGCAUCAUUAUCAACAAAGGGAUGGUGGGGUUUAACUGCAGCAAGCCAGCUUUGACUCGGUGGCUAUCCUGAACUACGACUGCAAUGUAACUCUUUUGAGGUGGCGCACACGAGUCCACAUAUUCACCAUAUCAAUACACCACUAUGGAACCGCUCCCGUUUCCCUACGAGAACGCCAUCCAUAGCACUCACGCUUAUCUUGCGUAUUUUAGGGUAUCCACUUUCACUUGUCUAUGAACUGAUAUAAGCAACCCAGAAGUCCUUUACCGCGGACACGGCUAUUCGAAUAGAUGAUGUUAACCCUGCAGGGGUGUACUUCUUCAUACAUGUUUCCACCACUUAGCGUCUGCACACGACAUGUGCUCGGCAGACUUCAAGCGAAAGCCGACGUGGGUGUAGACCACGACCUACCUAAACACUCAAGUCUCUAGUCCAGGUUUAUCGCCUAUUCGGGUUCCAUCCAUGAGGAGAUCCGGCCGGAGUUUCGCUCACAGCCCCAAACGAUGUGAACAGGGUUCCGUGACACCAAACGGGCGCCCGAUUUACCCGGCCACGUGCCUACCGCAUCACAGCCCACCCCUACGGUCAGCGCUGUCCACGGCCUCCAGCAUACUACAAACACCAGAAACUACUUGCAACUCCUGGACAGAGGACAAGGGUGAAUAAGAAGUCGAGCGGGGUCAUAUUUCAGGGCCCAAUGUAUGGUAGUAGCUGAAUCAUGGAUCACAAACACAGAACUCAGUUCCUGAGGACGGCUUCAAUGAGACAACCCACCAUGUACUCCUACAUGGCCUCUCACCGACACCUUUUACCAAAUCGUGUUCACACACUUAGCUCACACACAGUAGGACAUGUUCACCCGCCUCUGAUUCAUCCCCGAUGAAUCAGACCCGACUCAACUCUAAGCAGUAGCAGGCAUGACAAACAAGCAUGAAUGAGUAGGCACAACAGGGCUCAAACAACUCCUACUCAUGCUAGUGGGUUUCAUCUAUUUACUGUGGCAAUGACAGGUCAUGCAAAGGAUAAAAGGGGUUCAGCUACCGUAGCAAGUAACAGAUGAAUCGGUGUUGUCCUAAUGCAUUAAAAGAGAGCAGGAGCGAGAGAGUAGGAUUGUAUCGGAAUGAACAAGGGGGUUUUGCUUGCCUGGCACUUCUGAAGAUAACAUUGAGUCUUCAUCAGUGUCAAUGAUCACAUCAUCGGUAUCACGUCUAUCGAGAGGGGACAAUACCGGCAACACAGAAGGGAACACAAUCAAUGCAAUGCACAAUAUGAUGCAUGCUCAUGACAUGGCAAUAUGGAUGUGUUUUGAGCUAAUGCAACUAGCAACAGAUUAAAUGAAGUUGGUUUGAAUACAAGAUUCAAAUUCAAACUCCAUAUGUGAUUAUUUAAAUGCCCUUUAUUUGUUUUGUGCUAAACAGCAUCUAUAAGUUGUUCUAACAUGCAUGAAAAUGGUACAGAUGGAUUCCUUGAAUUUUUCUGAUAAUUUUUCAUAUAUAAAUUAUUUAAUUUGGAGUUACGGUUAAUUUUCUAUGAUUUUUAGAAGUUUUAGGUAUUUUCUGGAAUUUUCUGAUUUAUUUUAAAUCCAGAAAAUCAUUUAAUGCGUCAGCAUGACAUCGUCUUGACGUCAGCAGGUCAACAGGGCGCCUCCAGGUCAAACCUGACAUGUGGGGGCCACACGUCAGUGACACAGGGUUGUUUAACCCACUGACAGGUGGGGCCGGGUCAAAGGCCACGUCAGCACGGUCAAGCUGACGCGUGGGGCCACUGUGAUUAAUCUAAACUAACAGAAGUUUAAGCCGUGGUUAAUUAAGGGCGUGGGGCCACUGUCAGUGUCACAAAGCGGUGGUUAGUGGCUAAUUAAGCCAGCCACGUCACUGGCCACCGGAGUUCGGCCGGCGGCGACCCGGAACGCGGCGGAAAUUCACCGGGGUUGCGCUACGGGCGACGGCUGGACGCGCGAAGGGCACCAGAAGGUAGCCCGUGCCCGUGCACAUCUAGGGGGGCCAACGGGAGGUGCGGGGGUGGCCGGGGUUCGCCGGAAUGGAGCCCGAGGCGGCGGCCGAAGCUCGGGUGGGUGCGGAGUUAGCGCUGCGGCUUGCAAACAAGCUAGCUGCCACGCUAGCGUUGCUCCACGGGUCGUUGCGAGUGCAACGGACGCACGCGCGGGGCCAUUUGGUCACCGGGGCUUCACCGGCGACGAGCCCGUGCGGCGGAGCGUCUCGGCUCCGGUGGAGGGAGCGGCUAGGGGGUGAAUUAAGCAACGAGGCAUGGGGGAAACGAUGCAGCGGCUCAUCGCGGUUCUUCUGGUGCUGCUGGCGAGGCAGGGGAGGCACGAGGUCCGGCGAAUCGACGGAGGGGAGCUUCGGUGGCCGGCGACGGAACGGCGAUGGUGGCGGCGUUGCAGGGCUUCCGGAGGGCCGUGGGUCGGUGGGGAGGAAGGAGGGGGUCGAGGCGGAGCUCCCUGGGCGUCGGUGAGGCGUGGGGAGCACGGUGGCUGCGGCAAUCGGCGUCGGUGGCGGCGGCUCCGCUCGGGUCCGAGGUGCGGAGCGAGAGGGAGAGCAGGAGAAGGGGAUGAGCACGGGAGGGAGUUGAGGGAGGCCUGAGGGGGUGCGUGGCAUCCUUAGCCGAUCCGGGGCGGGGCGGCAAGCAGGAGGUGGCUCGGGCGCGUGCGCGCGCGCUCCGGCCACGCGCCUCUGUCCUACUGUCCCGAGGAGGAAGACGACAGGGAGGGCGCUGGUGGGCUGGGCCGGCCAGGGGGGGGGGAGCUGGGCCGGCUGGUGGGCUGCGCGGGUGAGGCCAGGUAGGCUUUACUCUUUUUAUUUUUUUUCUCUCUGUUUUGUUUUAACUCUGUUUUCUAUUUUGCAGGUUUGUUUUGAAUUUGGUUUUGAAACCAAUUCAAUUUAUUUUGCUUCUGACAAUAUUUUUAGGAGCUAAAAGAAUUAAAACAAUGCUCCACAAAAAUAUUUCAGAAUUAUUGGACCUAUAUUUAUUUAACAGUAGAUAUAAGUCCAAUUCAAAUAGCUAUGAUUUAAAUUCAAAGUCCCAAAAAUAAAUCCUUAAAAAUGUUCAAUAUUUUGGUUGGGACCAGAACCCUUACCAAAAAUUAUCAAACAUUUAAGAAGAGCCUUUUGGAGCAAUGAAUGAGAUUUCUAGGGUUUUUGCCCCUCUUUUAUUUAAGUUUUUGAGGCUUCCAAAAUUCCCUCAGUUCAAAUUUUCAGAAUUUAAACAUGAUGCACACAUGAGCUAGCCUAGAGCACUACCAGCAGCUAGGGAUGUGACACUAAGGACAUCUGCCGUGACAAUUCCACGAUAGUUGGCACCCACCGUGGGGCAUGCGCACGGUGGUGUUGAGUUCUUGAAGGGAUCUCUUCUAGGGUUUCAAGAAGUCCGCAAGUUUCCGGAUGAAGAAAAGCCGGUUUGGAAGGAGCUGGGUCAGCCUCAAGUCAUCAGUCCAGUUUAUAGUUUAUGCGAGAUUAAUUCAACGGAAAUUAGGGUUCUGUCAUGUGCGCCACCGCAUGCAAGUUUUCGGUGCAUUGAUCCAAGGACAACAGAUACAACUGCAAAGGAAUAUUUGAGGCAGUACACGCGUGGAUGAAGCCAGGGACUCGUCUCCGCGUCUGGUUCUAAAUUGCCGAAACGCUCCCUCUCGGUCUCGGCUGAGAAGCCGCCGUCUCCGAGACGCGGCCGCCCGGGCCAGCUGCAGCCCAAGCCGGCCACGACCUGUGGCUGGUCUGGACCCCGCCUCCCAUCCGGGUCGCUGCCAAACCCCGUCUCCCGUCCGAGUCGCUGUCUCACUUUGCCUCCCUGAGCCGCACUUGUCGCGUCGGGGUACAUCUACAUCAAUCGAUCAAGUUGCCAACGCUAGCUGCUCCAUUAUAAUAUUUUUUCUACUUGGAGGCCUGGACUUGUUCAUCUGCCGGAUUGGCUCUGUGUCUGAAACGCUCUCCUCGUGGAUCCCCGAGCCGUACAAGCUGGAGCUGCCGCGCGCCACUACUACUGCUUCAAGAACAACAAGACGCUCCACGUGAAGAGCAAGAAAGAAAAUACUGGCAUGCAUCUACACUGUGUACAUGUCACGUGCAGCUAAAAAAAAGGAGGCUAACUACUGCUUCGUCUUCAAGUGCUACCUCUCACGAAGAGGUCAAGAGCCACUAUCAAGAUAGAAAAAGAGGGAAGAAGUGCUGGUGACUCAUAUAUCUAAGUUAAUUCCUACCCUGUGUACGGAUCAUCUGUCGUCCAGAUGAAUCAGGUGAUAUCCGUCCAGUUUAUUUCAGCACAUAUUAAUUUUUGUGUGAACAAUUACUUUGCCUUGCGAUAUUUUUGAUGCAGGACAAUUGUUCAUUACUAAUGAGGUAUUAUAUUACGGGUACGGAGCACGCGAUAGCAGCGUUCUGCACCGGCGUUUCGUCUGUGUCAUACCACCCGGUGAAUGAACAUGCACAAGUCACCACCCUUGUGGCCCGGUUUACGUCAGCUCGUUGGGACCAUGCUUGAGAUCGACUCACCGUCCACGCGGCUUACUGCGCCUACAAUUGACUCACCCGUCCCUGCCGGCUUACAACGCCGCGCCCGGCUCAUCUGUCUGCUCCCACGGCCGACUCACUCGUGAGUGAUUUCAACUUAACCUAGUGAUCAUCAACUUCAUGGCGGAUUAUUUCUGGCCUGGCACAUCAGGUGAUAUCCAUUUUAAAUAUAUUUUAUUGGCACAUAUUAUUUUUGUCAAAAAGCAGUUUAUCUUUGCCUUGGUCUGCAAUAUUGUUGAUGCAGGACAAUUGUUCACUACAUCAAAAUGACGUGAUUAACUCGCCCGUCCGUGCCGGUUUACGACACUGGUGCCGAUCUUCCCCGUCCGCACCGGUUUACAAUGCCACGGCCGACUCAUCUAUCCGAGCUGCCUCUGAUGUUGCGGUUGUUUUUGUCGUCCGUCUCUCGCGGCCUGGUCUACAUCAACAUACCGGGCCGCACCUGUCUGCAUGAGCUGUUUAUUGAGUAUGAGCAAGUCACAGCUUGGGUAGCCCAGUUUUCUUUCAACAAAAAGGAGGCAAAUUAUCAUAUACUAUCAAUCGCCGUUUGCACUGGAUGGCUCAAUGGGCAGGCGCACAAGUCGCCGCCACUACAGUUUGGUUAACUUCAAAUCGCCAGUUGGAAGGAACCAUUGGCCGAGUUGCUGACACGGCUCAUACGAGAUCAUUUAUAACCCGCCGCAGUCACCUCAACCUUCUGUGGAUUUACAUCGUGCUAUCAACACCAAUGAUAUACAAGUUAUGUCGGUUUAUAUCAUGGUCAAAUAUGAAGAGUUUCAAGCCAACUCCUCGAGUCACCUUGAGACUCGGGGGCUACGAUGACAUGACUCAGCAAAUCUUGCUAGUUUCAGCAAAUUUAAGAACCCCAGGACGAUGGAGGGAAAGAUAACCCGGUCCAGGAGGCUACUGUUAUUUGAAGGCCGUCAGAAAAUUUCCGGCUUAGAAAGUAUAUGACAGUUACAAAAUCCCGGCUCAAUGAAGAAGAUCUGGGUCAUCAGAAAGGAUUCCGGUUUAAAAUCCGGCUCAAGGGAAGUCAGUCUCAUUGAAGCUCUCAAAUAUCUGGUUUACAAUCCGGUUCAAGGGAAAUCUGUUCUCCCACAAAGCUCUGAAGCGCCCAAAUCCGGUUUAACAAUGUCCGGUUCAAAAAGGAAUUAACUUCUCGCAAGUUCGAGUUUAAAGGCCGUCAGAAAAUUUCCGGCUGAAAAUGAAGAUUCCGGUUUAAAAUCCGGGUCAAGGGAAAUAUGUCUCCCACAAAGCUUUGAAGCUCUCAAUAUCCGGUUCAAGAUCUCGGUUCAAGAAGAAUUUAUCUCUUGCAAAAAAGUUAAAAAUUACCGAAGAGGACCUGUUGCCAUGAUGCGCGGUUCAAACAUGGGUAUCCUGCCUUAUUGGCCUAACAUAUUAUUGAUCACAUGGGUUCUUCUGCUUCAUAAAGCGGGGUCUCUGUUCUUUUUUACAUCAUGUGUGGUUACACGGAGGUUCUGUCUUAAAGCGGCCUCCGGUUUACCUCUUGGGUUAGCUUUUCAAAGCACCAUGUUAUGUCACUUGGGGGCUUGGUCGUGUCUGAACCAAUGCAACACCUCUUGAUAGGCGAAAGCCACCAGAUCACUUGGGGACAUGGUCAAGUCUGAACCAGUCACGCCUCUUGAUCGGCCUAAGGCCACAGAGUCACUUGGGGGCUUGGUCGAACCCGAACCAUUGCCACGCCACUUGAUCGGCGUAAUGCCACGGUUUCAGUUGGGGACAUGGCUGACUUGAACCAUAGCUACACCUAUUGGGAGCUUGGUCGUGUCCGACCAUGGUAACACCAUCUGAUCGGCUCAGUAAAGCCUCCUUUUUUGCAAACGGUUUUAUCAUUGCCUUUGCUUCCAUAUUUUUUUUCAUAACUGUUAUUCGAUUUUUGUUGCGACAAUGUUUUAAUCCGGUUCAACUGUCAAUUACAAAUUGACGGAACACGGUCAAAUCUUAAUCCGGAGGCCAUCUGCCCGGUUUGAUUUUCUAUUACCAUCCUAUUAUGGAGUAAACCGGUGUUCAUUAACCCGGCUUGACUUUCAAUUACAAGUUGUCAAUACAGGAUCAAGUUAUAAUCCGAAGACUAUCAGCCCGGUCUGGUUUGACUACGAGUCGCUAGUAUUAUAUAUGGUUAAACCGGUGUUUAUCACAACCCGGUACGGUUUAUCAUCAACCGACACAGUAUGAAAGGAGUUAUCAUUACUCAAGAUUGGGGUUAUCACUCUUACUACAAAAAGUUGGUAAAACCAGCAACGUGAUUCAAUAUCACAGGUAUGAUAUAUUUCAUAUUUGAUUAUUCCUAAGUGCAACCUUGGUUAUAAACUCAGGUUAUAUGUUGGGCAUUAUGACCCGUCCGGCGGUAAACCGCCAGGACACUUUAAACUUGUUGUAUGCAGAAACAGGUUGAAUAAAUCAUGAUUAUAAAUCACUGACGUUUAUUAAACCGGCCUGGCUUUCGACUAUGUGUCGCCAGUAUGAUGAUAAAUUAUCCGGUGUUUGUUAAACCGGCCUGGCUUUAAGACGAUAAGUCGCUAGUAUAUGAUGAAAAAUUAUCCGGUGUUUAUUAAACCGGCCUGGCUUGGGACUAUAAGUCGCCAGUAUAUAUUUGGAUUGCGCCAUUGGAAUCAUGCGCUUAUAAAUCAUUGGGUUAUAUUAUUUAAAUAGCCAAACUUGGCUGAAUUUUCAUUAUGAUACUGAACGAAUAAGGUUUUCAUACCAGAUUAUAUUGUCUUGAAUAGCCAACAUGGCUGGAUUUUAUCAUGGUUAUUAAUAAUUGGUAUUAUUGAGGUUUAUAAAGUCGCUUUAGCACAAUGGCUAUCAUAUUAUCAAUAGAUAUGAUUUUUCUACAAUUGAAGGAAUAGUCCCGAGUUGCUGCAGGCUUACGACCCGACACUUGGGGGCUACAUUAUUUAAAGUUGCGAUUACAUCAAAUAUGCAAGUCUCAUGUCGCUGCAAGCAGGCACCAUGACACUUGGUGGCUCAUGCAAAGUAAUUUUUUGCUCAUAUUAUUGAAGACCCGACUCAUCACAUUAUAAUGAGUCGACCCUUGGGGGCUACCAAUUGCUCCUGUCAACAAUUGAAGGUACAAAGCUUUUUAUUCAAUAUAUUGAAGGGUCCACUGCUCAAUUAGUACAGCACAAGGCUCUUAACCUUGUGGACGUGGAUUCAAGUCCCAUGAUGGGGGUUACAUCAUAUGAUGUUAUUUUCAUUGAAGUAUAUAUCAAGUCCCAGCUCAAUAUUAUCUUACUGAGCCGGCUCUUGGGGGCUACACAUCAUUGCUCAAAUCUAUAUGAUUAUACCUACAAACUCCCUGCUUAUUAUUGCAUAAUGACCCGACACUUGGGGGCUACAUAAUAUGGAGUAUUCAGUUUUUACUAAGUGACUGGGAUGAACAACAUGGAUUUCUUCUUAAGUGGCAGUAUUUAUAUUGAAACAAGUCUUAAGCCAUCACUUUGUUCUACUCAAGACUUGGGGGCUACAGGUAUUACAUUAUUAUGGAAGAACUAUUUUCAAAUUCUCUGUUUUGAGCAAACCGGAUUGACCCGGCGUCACCAACCAUUACGACCUUGUGUCUGCAACCCGGCGUCAUCAAUAACAUGAACUGGCGUUGGCAACAAUCAUGACCCGAAAUUAUCAAUUUUUAUAACCUGGCAAUUUUGGUAAUAUUAAACCGGCAAGUUUUACAUCUUCAGACCGGCUGAACAUCAGUUGAAUAUUUGAAGACCAAUAUUUUUGUCAAGUCAGAGCAUUCAAGGCCGAUUCAAGAGGAUUCUUUAUUUACAAAAUAUUUUCUACAAGCAAAUUGGUUAUGAAACUGGUCUAUUGACUCGGAUUUUUUAGAAGGAAGAAAUGACAAGGAUUUAAGGAUGAUCAGGUGCCGGUUUACAAGAAUUUUUAACCCGGAGUACAACCUAUCAAAGUUGUUCUAGUGUUUAUUUUGCAGGAUCAGUUUAACAUGGAUAAAUCCAAAUUAAACUGGGGGCUAAUGUUGGGGAUAUACCGGCCGGAGUUAUGACCCGGCCGGACUUGGCGAUCCACCAGAAGACCCGGCUGGAGCGUGGUGACUCACUGGUGACCCGCCUGGAGCUUGGCGAUUCACAGAUAACCCGCCCAAUAUUGCCGACUCAUUAGUAACCCGGCGGGCGGGUCAGAUGGAAAACAAGGCCCAAAGCCCAGAAGGCCGGCUCACGUUAUGAUGGGCCGGCUUAAGAGGAAAGGGAUGACAAAUAUUUCCUUUAUGAGGAAGCAAGACCUGGACUUGUAUUUAACUUGUAAGAGAAGAUAGACUAGUCCUAGUCCUACUAGGACUCCACAUGUAACCCGCCCCUCUAACUUAUAUAAGGAGGGGCAGGGCUCCCCAAGGAGGGAACAAAAAACAAUAUCUAGAGCUAGACACAAAGGGGGAGCCGGCUUAUGCGGCGACUCUCGAUGAGCAUAAUGAGACCUAGCCUCAAACAGCAUGUAGGGCUAUUCCGGAUGAUGUUUCCCGGGGCCCGAAGCUGUCUAAAUCCUUGUCUUGUCUGUUGCGUCUCUCGUCCCGAUCAACCCCUCUCAAGCUACCGCAUAGAUGUGUUGGCCUCGCGACUAAGUCCUGACACUAAGGACAUCUGCCGUGACAAUUCCACGACAGGCUCCCGAAGGAGCUCUCGGGGACUACCCUAUUUUAUCUAUGUAUGUCGGGUAUCAUACCCAUGGUUACGCCACUACAUUCAUUUUCUUCGUCCGGCACCGGGUUCGACUAGUCGGCCCGGGGACUUGCUGCCUUGAGUUAUGUCCAAGUUCUACCUGCAGUCAGACAAGUAAUGUGCCUGUACCCAAGCCCUCUCUUGCGGAAGUCACAACUCGAAGAAUCGGCUAUCCGACUAGCAAGAGCCAAACGCGGAAAGGAUGCCCACAUGAAAAACGGCUAAGGACUAAUGAACCUACAUAACACAAGCUGGCACCCCUCUCGCCAACCGGCUGUCGAAGUAGCCGGCUGGCCGGCUUCCCUUCCUACUCUGCUACAAUCUAAAAGAGCUUGAGUACUUGCCUUCCCAGACGGCCGAACUCCUUACCCGGCCACAGACUGCAGAGAAGCUGUCCGGCUGGGAAGGCGGCAACCAAGGGAAGGCGGCAAAGGAAAAAAGCCGAAAGAUUAAAGGCAAGUAGGAAUGGAAGACAAACACAUGCAUAAUAAUAUUUAAACCAAAGGCCUUCGAGAGGUCGGCAUUCAACGAAGUUUGAAUACGCCCCCAGUGGGUGGAAUUGCGCAAAGAUAACAAAUCUGUUCAAAGAGUGACAAACAGGAAAGCAAAAACAGCGAAUCAAGCCAAGGGAGCGCCUGGAGCGUCAGGAAGAUUGGUGGAGACGGCGGUGUUGGCUGGAGGAGUGGCCGGCUGGCGAGUCUCGGCCUGGUCGUCGCCGGUGGCAGGCGGAGCAUUUGCGCGUGCCUCGUUGCUGGAGGCACGGUCAGGCUGAGGCUAGUCGGCUGCUUCGACAUUCGGCACAACGUCUUCGUCGUCUUCCUCCUCCUCCUCUUCACCCUCGUCGGUGGAGUCAAUCUCCUCCGCUGAGUCUUCACCGCCGGCCGGAUUCAGCCCGAACCAUUCCUCCGACUGCGCGACGCCGUCCUAGUUCACCUCAGGAGCAAAGGCGCUGGUGUUGGUGAAGUCGGCGAUCGCCGAGGCGUGCUGGAUGAUAGCCGGCCGCACCGCCUCCAGCUCCUCGUCAUCCUCCUGCCGCCAGGUGCGCAGCUGGUCCAAGUUCAGCCCAGGGUACCAAGCCCGGACGAACUCCAACGCCCGUCGGGCGCCAGACCGAGCUGCUGAAGCCUUCCAGGCCUCGAGACGGCCGACUGCCACCUCCAGCCAGUCGGCAGUACGGCUGGGGUGCGAGGAAUUACUUCGCCAGGCCAAAGGGCGGCCAGCACCUGUGCUCCGGCACGCUGAAGCCGGUGGAGCAUGCGGUAGGCCGGCUGGAGGCGGGCUUGGAUCGCCAGAAGCUGCUGCUCAAGUGACCGGUUGGCAUCCGGUGCGAUCUCAACCCCAUCCUGCCGCCGGGCCUCACGGUGAGCUUCGAUGGCUUGGUUGGCAGCGACGGAGUAGCCAGGAAAGUACUCUUCACAAAGAAGAAAGAAACAGAGCAAGUCAGGAGAUAAACUGGCUUACAAGGACAAGCAAAGAGUGAAGAAGAUGGCGGCCUACCAUCAACCAAAUCCUCGACUCGGCCGUAGCCUUCGCUCAGAGCUUGCCUUGCCUCGGCCCAGCUCGCUGCCUCGGUUUCGUAUUCGGCUUUGAGGCCAGCCUCGCUGUCCUGCACCGCCUCCAGGGCCGCCUUAUGGCUUACCUCCUGGUCGGCCAGUUUCUUGACCAGGCGGUCACGCUCCUGAGCCAAGGCGCUGAACUCGCCCUCCUUGGUGCGAAGGGCGGUCUGGGCCACACCCAGCUGCUGCCUUAAGUCGGCGCUGGCUCCUGCCAAUAUGGAAAGAAGAAAUUAAGAAAGAAGUCGGCAAGAAAGAUCUGACCCGACUGCUCGGCAGUCGUCCCGAAUCUCGGGGACUACACCCAGUGGGUGCGCUGACGCGCCCCCACAUGAGAUAGAAGGACAAAGACACUCACGCCGGUUCUCCGACAGGUCGGUGGCCUUUUGGUUCACCUCCCGGACCUGGAAGUUAAAGGUAGCAGCGUGGAGGUUGUGAUAAUCCUACAAACAGGAUGAAGAAGCAAGCAAGAGCAAGCCGUUAAAACAAAGUCUUUGAAGAAGUUCCAAGCCGCCUGCUCAGUAGCCGGCUCGGAACUCGGGGACUACACCAAGUGGGUGCGCUGACGCGCCCCCACGGAAGAAAUCUAGAGCAAGAAAACUCACCCGAACGACCGCCCGUGUCGCAAGAAACUCUCAGGUACAUUGCUGCAGCACGGUGGCCUGAGCCUGAAGCCGUCUACGGACAUCUUGCGCCGCCAAGUUCAACGCGGCUGUCCUUCCGCCCGACGUCCACCCUGGCGAGUUGGCGGUGGCCGACUCCAGAUCAUGCGACAACGAGCUGGAGCCGGCGGGCCCCUGCGGAUCCGACUCUGAAGUCGCCCUUCCCGCGCGCCGACGAGUCGGUGACAAAACCACAAGAUCCGUCCUCGCAGUCGGCUCUCCUCCAGCCGGCUGCUCAGCUGGCACCACUUCUCCCUCCGGGACGACUACGUCGCCCCCUCCCUCUCCAUCGCCGGCGGGUCACAGCCGAUUUCCUCCGACGGAGGCACCGAGAUGUCCGGGGCUGCGGAGCGGAGGGGGAUGACCAGCUGUGGAGGCUGAUUGCGCAGGGCCUCCGCCGCCCUCUCCGCAGCCUCGGCUUCCUACUAGGCCCUGGCUGCCGUGUCGGCCUGCGCCUCGGCCGAUUCCGCCGUCGUCUCCCGGGGCGACUCGGUGGCGGCCGCCCUCCACUCCUUCGCCUCCCGUUCCUCCCGCGCCUCCCGCGCGUUCCGCUCCGUCGCCGCCUGAAGCUCGGCGCGGGGGUCUAUGCGGCAGGAACCCGCAGAUCCUCCCGCUCCGCCGACUAUGGAGGCGGCGGUAGUCCGCUCAAGAGAGAGCGGGGCCCUGAUGACGAAACAGAGAAAGAACUUAGAAGAACAUCAACUAAAGAAAGAAAGAAAAGUGCGUAAGGACAAGAACUUACGCUGAGACCGCCUGCGGUUGCUUCACCACCUUGCGGAAGCGGGCCGCCUCGUCCCGCUUGGUAGCCGUCGCUGAUCCCUUGGGCUUCUUCGGACGGCCGCCGAAGAGAUUCGGUGCCGCCCGGCGCUUCUGCGCACCACCUCGUAUGGUCGGCCCGUCGGACGGGCCAGCGCCUUGGGAGUCCGUCGCCGGUUGGCGGCACGGAAUAGGAUCGGCCUCGUCAUCAUCGAGCUAGUCGUCAAAGCCGGCGGUGAAGCCGGAGCCGCCUGUCUCACCGCCUCCCCCAACAGCGUCGUCGUCCAGGGCUGCCGCCCCCAGGUCGGGGUCGUCAAGGUCGUCCGCCUCGCGGUCGGGGACGAUCUCGCGCUCCGGCCCCGUGGUCCCGGCCGAAGGAUGAAGAAGGGGGUUCUGUUUGAAGACGGGCCAACUGGUCAGAAGCCGACCGAAAAGAACUCGGCAACAAGAAAGGAAGAAAGGAAAGAGCAGGCUUACCACGAGCGGGGGGUUGGCGCGAGAGUAUGGUUCCUUGCCAUACUGCCACUCCUCGGUGAGCUUGCAGUUGGUGAUGUAGUUCACCAGAUAACAUACCUCGUCGUGAGGCAUCUCUUUGGUGCUGAGUCGGCUUGGAUCGAAGCGGCCGCUCAUCUGACAGAUCAGAUGAGGGCGGCCUUGGAGCGGGAGCACUCGGCGCUCGACGAAGGCGGCAAUCAAGUCAGGCCCAGUUAGGCGCUCCGACUGGAUCAGCACCCGAAGCCGGGCGACGGCUCCAGCUCCAGCCGGCGUUAGCUACCUAGCCCGGAAGGACCAUGAAGGUUGCCUCCCAGGCAGUGGGCCGGCUAUGUAAGCCGGCAAGUUGACGUAGUCCAUUCGGGGCAACGUUCUUCACGUAAAAGUAAGACCGUUGCCAGAGCUUCACCGACUGGAUCAGCGCGAUAGGAGGGAACAGAUUGUCGGUGGUGGACCUCCUCAUGGCGAUGAAGGCGCCACACGGAGCCGGCACGCCAGCAACGACCGUGCCGAGCUUGGAUUGAAAGAACUCCCCUAGAGCUUGAUGGUGGGGAGGACGCCGAGGAAACCUUCGCCCAAGGUGACGAAGGCCGACAACAGCACCACCGUGUUGGGGGUGAGGUGGUGCGGCUGGAGAUGAUAGAAGUCGAGAAAUGUGCGGAAGAAGCCGCUCGCGGGGAGGCCGACGCCGCGUAGGCAAUGCGAGUAGAAGAUCACUCGCUCGCCUUCCUCCGGCGCUGGCGAAACCUCCCUCGCUAGCGUGAGGCGGGCCCGUACAAGAUCUUUACCCGGCAGCCGCCGCGUCUUGUGGAGAAAAUCAAUGUGGUCAUCGCGGACGGUGCAGCCAUCCCAGGAGCUCGACGUCGGGGCCAUGACGGUGAACACGGCUGCGGAAAGCGCCCGGCACGGAGGCAGCGAGCUUGUGGCGUGCUUGAAAGAAGAGAGAGUGGCAGGGCGGAAGCACGGUGAAGCGCUACUGCAGAGAAGAAGAAGAGGGAGGGGACGGAGUAAGGGCGAGCGUGCGAACGACUGCCGCUCCCCCUCCCCGCCCCUACUUAUAGCCCCGUGCGGCGAAGCCGAGGAGGCGAGGCGCGAGGGGCCGUGGGAUUAACUGCGCCCACUCCCCCAUGACCCACGAUUAUCGCGCCUUUAUGGCGAGUGGGAACCACCGCCGGAAGACGUGCAGUCGGUUCAGGCCAUAGAGGAUCCGCGUGCGGGCCGAGGCAUGGAAGUGGUGGGCCCGGCCUGCGGCGGCGUCCCGUCACGCGUGUGGGCUGGCAGGCCCUUCCAGCCGAAGGGUGCCACAUGGCGUGCGGGUGGCGGGCGGUCAGCCCGCCGCCUGGCCAGCGCGCCAGCUGGUUCCCGCCUUCGGAUUUUGAGGAGGCGUCGCCGAGAAGGCAUGCGCAAGGGAGGCCGACUCCUAGCUGUCGGCUCUUCGGGAUAGGAAGCUGGCCGAGCUUCUCGAUUCCCCCUUCAGCCGCGAAGCCCAACCAGCUUCGGGGACUACUGUCGGAGUAAAUGACCACGGGUAGCCUAACCGGCUCCCUUUGGCCCUCAGAAAAAAACAAUGGGACGACCGAGCCCUGAAGCAACCAAGACACAGGGCCGCCUUCUUCCGGCCGGCUAUCACAUAGGCCUACUGGCGGAAGGCGGCCCGGCCAUAAAGAGCCUUUGGAGGAUGCCCCGAUAGGGCCGACUCCAAGAAGCCGGCCCCUGAAGGACCGACUCCAAGAAGCCGACCCCUGAGGGACCGACUCCAAGAAGCCGGCCCCUGGCAGACGGCCAUGGGCCGCGCCCUAAAAGUCCACCCUCCAUAACGGUGAUGGGACAGGGCGUGGCUACAGUGGCCCCUCCCACCCCUGAAUCCCGGAACACGCAUGGCUACAGUACGCCGUACAGGGCAGCCAUCUCCUGUCCGGCGAGGCACUGUUGCCAUACAGACUAUAACGCCAUCCAUGACGGGUCGCCAGUACGGCCCGCAGGCGGCGGGCCCCUUCGGUCAGAGAGACAUCCGAAGGCGGCCUGACCUCUCCCAGCCGGCCUGAGGCCGGGCCGGCUUCCUAUAGCCGGCUAGCUCCCCUCCUCGGGGCGUGCGCACCAUUAAGCAGAAAGGACGAAGUAAGGCUACAGUGAGAGCCCGCAAGGCAGCAGCACUGUAGCCAUGCUUACCUCGACAAAGCCCUCGUCAUCAUAGGCGAGGCAACAGUAACCAGCCCCCGACAAGACCCCCCCAAGCGGUGGGGCCGGCCUGUCGACCAAUGGGCCGCCAGCCGGCGGGACCCACCAGUCGGCGGGCCCUAGUAGCCGGCGGAGAAGCUGGCGGACGCAGACGCUGACGGCCUGGACCCACGACCAGCCAGAUUGCCAUUGUACCCCCGGGGGGUAGGCCUAUAUAAACCCCCCGGGACACCCAUGCAAAGGGUUGAUCUAAUAGAGUUUUAGACACCACCAUAGGGAGAGAAGAGAGCUAGCCUUGCCCUUCUCCUUCCCCCCACCGUACAGCUCAAGGAGCCUCUUGUAGCUUCUUACUGAUCUAGUGAUCAUGCGGAGACCCCGCAAAGCAGGAGAAGGGGUAUUAUCUCCACAGAGAGCCCCCAACCCGGGUAAGAUCCGCCGGCGUGCAUGUCUUUGCCUUAUCCCGUUUCCAGCCACCGGCGAUGUCUUACUGGCUCCCACAAUGAUAAGCCAUCCGUUGGCAUAUGUCGCACAUACCACCCGACAUUAUCCAUUUUCCCUGUCGAUCAUGCCCAUUGGGAUAUCACCCGCUCUGACCCAAAAAGGGAUAAACUUGAAUUGGUACUCCUCUAAAGUUUUGCUUGGUUUGAAAUUUUCUAAAUCCAACAAUGAUUUAUUAAACAUCCAGGGCCACAGUUAGAGCUUUCAUCCCCCCUCUUCUCUAAAGGUGAAUAGGAAUCUAUUCAUUCCCAAACCUUUACACUCUAUUCCUUUGAAUGGACACCAAAUCCAGCCCAGGGUGCUUACCAGGGAAUCCACUCUAUCCGGCCUGUUUGACAUUAGUUUUCCAACGGCUUGUGGCUUCUCAUUGAAUGAGGAACUGCUACUUCGUCUAUUGAUCUUUACCACUCUUCUUUCAGCUUCAUAUAGUUGCAAUGUCUUUAAUCCGGUCAACUCCUUCCAUCCUGAAGCUGGACUCUUUCCUUGGGAGAUGCAUGUGCAAAUCACCGCCUCCUUUGCGUGCCGCCUCCUGUGACACCCUACUCCACCUAUCCUCCGCCGCCAAACUCCUCCCAACUAGGAUUCUAGAAGAACUCAAAUGCAUGCCCUAGCUAGAACACAAAGGAUUUUGUUGGUGGAUGAAAAAGUGGGAAAGGAAAGAGAGAUUCUUGAGAGCUCUAUCAAUGGUUGAGAAGAGGAACCAGGCUCGUUGAGAAGCAGUAGCCUGCUAGAUCAAUACACUAGAUCUGUGAGAGCAUGAUUGAGAUUGAGAUUGGGAUAGAAUGGUGUGUGCACAUGAGGAUGAUUGAAGCUAGAAGGAAUCGAUCUCGUCCGAACUAGCCAGAACUCAGACCUCAGUUCGCUGGAGGGACCUAGAACCAUCACGAACAGGACGGACACCAUUAGCGCGAUGUUAGGGAGGAGGAACGUGGCAAGUUGUCCUCAGUUUCGACAGAGCAAACAGGGCAUACGUCAACAAUUUCAAGACCCUAGCAUGCUUGUUCUGCCAUGUGGGCAAGAAAUUAGUAGCCACUCUCCAGGCAAAGUUGCGGAGUGUAGGAGGUACAUCGCAUGACCAUAUUAGUUGCCAACACGAUCGACGCCCAUCUGGUCUAGUGCUUGACCCCGUCACCGAACUUCUAUGCGCCUCUUCAAAUGCAAAAGGAUGGCCGCUCUUAACAGAAAAGGUACCAUACUUCUCGGGGCCCCAAGCGAGCGUAUCAUCCUCAGCCAUGUCCGCCGGUUGGAAGUACCUUUGUAGCAACUCAUAGUUCCAUGAUCCAUUAUCAUUUAGGAAUUCUAACACAAAGCGAAUGCGGUAUUGCCACCUCUUGAUAUCCAGAAGCGAACGAACUAUCAGGGCACCGAGGAGGCCCCCUCGGUUCCACUGUAUAGAGACUAUUGAUCACACAUGUGGUUCCAUCACGAAGAAUGGCCUCAUUCUACGUCCUCCCAUUUUUUUUAAUCUCAUGACCUUUUAUGAGAUGACCAGAAAACGAAUGAAAUCAGAAAAUGGACGGAUGACUUACCAUGAGGUAGGAUUUUUACGUGAGCAGUCAGCACGGGUCCAUCCAUUUUAGAGAGAAGCUGGUGAGGCCAUUUUUGGGUAUUUAAAUAAACCACUUUAUCAAAAAAAAGGAUGAUAACAAGCAUACUGUCGUGGUCCUAAUACUGACAGUAGAAAGGGGGGUAGGUAUGGUGAGGCAAGAUCUCAGCUAUGGUGAAGGUGUACACACGAGAUUUACGAGUUCAGGCCCUUCUCGGUGGAAGUAACAGCCCUACGUCUCGGUGCCCGGAGGCGGUCGAUUGGAUUAUGCGUGUGGUAUUACAGGGAGUGACAACCCUUGUCCCAGAGGAGGGGGUGGCUUAUAUAGAGUGCGCUAGGACCCCAACCAUCCUCCAUUAUAAGGGGCUUAAUGUACAUAAAGUAAGGGCGUUACUGAUAAUGCCAGCCUUAAGUGCUAUUAAUGACCUUAAAUACUACGGAGUAAACUCCUGCCCGUUGCAAUGCUGAGUGACUCCUGGUCUUCGAUAGGUCGACUGAUUCUCUGGAUGGUCGAGUGACAGUAUGGGGGAGGACGUCCGAGUGACCUGACUGUUGAGUGGAUAGCACUCGACAUCUUUGCCUGGGGGCCUCCAGCUGUCUCUUGGACUCCUUAUCUUCUAGGGUAGUGACUUUGGGUAGGGCGUGUAGGUCUGGCCUAUGACCCUACCCCAGGUCUAUAUCCUCAUCAGUAGCCCCCGAAUGGAUUAAGGUUCGGCUGAAGUUGAACUUGUUCUGAGUUUUGCGCCUUCGCGAGUGUUUUCUGCAAAACGGAGAGCUCACGUUGGCACUUUGGUGUCGACUCAGCCGCCUUGAUCCAUUCAGGGAGUUGUCGAUUCAACUUGUGGCAUCAUGCGUCGAGUGCUUUAUUAGUGCGCAGGAUCUUGGGCGUGAUUGACUACUGCUUAUCCCGGAUUUCGCGGGAUGCAAAAUUUCGGGGAAGCGCGCGGGACGGGGAGUGCAGAAAUGGGCGGAGCGGAUAAAACAGCGAUGCCUUGAUUUCCGUGCCACCUUUUUCGCCACGUACGUUGUGUCCGACUGUUGCGGGAUUUGACAGGAUUGCCUGGUCCCACGCGUCAGUCACUCGGAAGCGACUCUUUAUAAGGCGACGGGGCCGAGGCGUCUGCACUGUGCAUGCCCGCUCCUCCUUCUUCUUCCUCUGUUUCUCCACCGCGCUCAGCUCUUCCACUCUCGAUGCCGCCGCUCCGCCGCCAUGGUGAAGGACAAGACGGCAGUGCUAGAGCGUGUGAAGAAGGCGACGGGGGCGGCAACAGGCAAAAAGAAGAGCCACGGGUCAUCUUCGCGCACGGGGCUGCCACCGGGCUGGAUCCAGGGCGAUUGGAUCCGGUCUUUGAUUCAGCAGGAGGAUCUGGACGAGCUGGCGGAGUCCGGCCUGAUCGCCAAGGGAGCGGCCAGGCUGCCGGAGGGGGAGAUGGAGCCUCAACCUCGAUCGGGUGAGUGUGUCCUACUCGCCACCCUCAUCGACCGGGGUUUCUCACUUCCUCCGCACCCCUUCUUCCGGGGAUUCCUGAAUUUCUUCGGUGCGCAACUCCACCACUUUUCUCCCAACACUAUCACGUAUCUGGCCGCAUUCGUAUCGAUGUGCGAGAACUUCUUAGGGUGUCGACCGCACUGGGGCCUUUUCAAACAUAUCUUCACCAUUCGCUCCCAGUCGGUCAAUAAAGCAAAGUCGAGUGACUGAAAAACCCAUGUCAUUCAGAUGUGUGGGGGUUUAGGAAUCCAAAAGAGGCAUAGGAGUGACUUCCCUGCCAUGACUCUCCCUGAAUCUGUUAGAGGCUGGCAGUCGACCUGGUUCUACUGCCAGGACAUCUCAGCUCAAGGUCAGUCGACUGGUCUUCCCCACUUCUCAUUCGAUCGUGUUUAGACUCCUACCCCACCGAAAGUGACUGCUGCGGAGAGCGUGGAGACAAAGAUGUUGGUAGAGAAAGUGGUUUAGCUUAUUAAUGAUGGCGUCACCGGCCUGGAUCUGCUGGAGGUGUUCCUCAGUUGACGUAUCCAGCCUCUUCAGGCUCGCGAUCAUCCCAUGUGGCUAUACUUUGGGCUAGACGACACCGCUCGAGUCCAUCCAGAAGAAGUGUCGUCCAAGACCGUGGCUUUGUGGCUGAGGAGCAUCACAGGCAAUCAGGACAACCCCAGAGGAUCUAGGCGAGUCAUUCCGUUCAAUGAAGGUAAUCCGCCUGACAAGCUAUGCUCUUCGUUCCACUGUUUCAUGCUCACGCUCCGACUGCAUUUGAUGUCGACUGACCCUUACCUGACUGAUUUGUCCCAUAGGUAUUCACUGAGAUGCAUUCGAUGCCCAAUGGCGAACAAGCUCUGGUGCAGGAUCAGGAAGGAGAGGCCAGUGCAGAGGAAAGCGGUGAAUGGGAGUCCUCGGAUGAAGAGGAGGAGGAGGAGAGCGAGCAGUCGGACGAGGAGGUGGAAGUAAACUCGCCGCCGUGCUCUGAGCAUCGAUCCAAGCAGCAACAUGACCCGGCAGGCAGGCGUGGAAAGAACGUGGCUCCAGGUCCCGAUGCUCAGAAGCGUGUUCGAACGUCGACUCCGGAGCCCGCAGAGAAGAUCGCCAAGCAGCCCAAGGUUGCUCCUCCCAGGGCUCGGAAAACUUUGCCACGGAUCAAGAUGGACGUCCCUGUGGCUUCGGGGUGAGUAUCACACUUGUGUUUAUGUAGACCGACUGAACUUCCCGUCAUGACCGAUUGGAUCAUGCAUCUCUCCAGUCCCACCUCUGCUGCUAUCGACAUGGACAUCGACAAGGCUCUAGGAGACGAGGAGGCUGAAGGAAAUAUGCCCUAGAGGCAAUAAUAAAGUUAUUAUUUAUUUCCUCAUAUCAUGAUAAAUGUUUAUUAUUCAUGCUAGAAUUGUAUUAACCGGAAACAUGAUACAUGUGUGAAUACAUAGACAAACAUAUAGUCACUAGUAUGCCUCUACUUGACUAGCUCAUUAAUCAAAGAUGGUUAUGUUUCCUAACCAUAGACAUGUGUUGGCAUUUGAUUAAUGGGAUCACAUCAUUAGGAGAAUGAUGUGACUCACAUGACCCAUUGCGUUAGCCUAGCACUUGAUCGUUUAGUAUAUUGCUAUUGCUUUCUUCAUGACUUAUACAUGUUCCUGUAACUAUGAGAUUAUGCAACUCCCGUUUACCGGAGGAACACUUUGGGUACUACCAAACGUCACAACGUAACUGGGUGAUUAUAAAGGAGUACUACAGGUGUCUCCGAAGGUACAUGUUGAGUUGGCGUAUUUCGAGAUUAGGUUUUGUCACUCCGAUUGUCGGAGAGGUAUCUCUGGGCCCUCCCGGUAAUGCACAUCACUAUAAACCUUGCAAGCAAUGUGACCAAUGAGUUGGUUACGGGAUGAUGCAUUACGUAACGAGUAAAGAGACUUGCCGGUAACGAGAUUGAACUAGGUAUUGGAUACCGACGAUCAAAUCUCGGGCAAGUAACAUACCGAUGACAAAGGGAACAACGUAUGUUGUUAUGCGGUUUGACCGAUAAAGAUCUUCGUAGAAUAUGUAGGAACCAAUAUGGACAUCCAGGUUCCGCUAUUGGUUAUUGACCGAGAAUAGUUCUAGGUCAUGUCUACAUAGUUCUCGAACCCGUAGGGUCCGCACACUUAAGGUUUCGAUGACAGUUUUAUUAUGAGUUUGUGAGUUUUGAUGUACCGAAGGAGUUCGGGGUCCCGGAUGAGAUUGGGGACAUGACGAGGAGUCUCGAAAUGGUCGAGACGUAAAGAUCAAUAUAUUGGAUGACUAUAUUCGGAGUUCGGAAAGGUUCCGAGUGAUUCGGGUAUUUUUCGAAGUACCGGAGAGUUACCGGAAUUUGCCGGGGAGUAUAUGGGCCUUAUUGGGCCAUACGGGAAUAGAGGAGAGAGGCCGAAAGGAAGGAGGCGCGCAGCCCCCCUCUGGUCCGAAUUGGACAAGGGGUGCGGCCCCCCUUUCCUUCCUCCUCUACCCCUCUUUCCCCCCUUCUCCUACUCCAACAAGGAAGGAGGGAGUCCUACUCCCGGUGGGAGUAGGACUCCCCUUGGCGCGCCCCUCCUAGGCCGGCCGCCCCCUCCCCCCUUGCUCCUUUAUAUACGGGGGCAGGGGGUCACCUCUAGGGAGAACAACACAAGUUGAUCUACGGAUUGUUCCUUAGCCAUGUGCGGUGCCCCCCUCCACCAUAUUCCACCUCGGUCAUAUCGUCGCGGAGUUUAGGCGAAGCCCUGCGCCGGUAGAACAUCAUCAUCGUCACCACGCCGUCGUGCUGACGAAACUCAUCCCCGAAGCUUUGCUAGAUCGGAGCCCGGGGAUCGUCAUCGAGCUGAACGUGUGCUGAACUCGAGGGUGCCGUACAUUCGGUGCUUGGAUCGGUCAGAUCGUGAAGACGUACGACUACAUCAACCGCGUUGUCAUAACACUUCCGCUUAUGGUCUACGAGGGUACGUGGACAACACUCUCCCCUCUCGUUGCUAUGUCAUCACCAUGAUCUUGCGUGUAUGUAGGAAAACUGUUGAAAUUACUACGUUCCCCAACAGUGGCAUCCGAGCCAGGUUUUAUGUGUAGAUGUCAUAUGCACGAGUAGAACACAAGUGAGUUGUGGGCGAUACAAGUCAUACUGCUUACCAGCAUGUCAUACUUUGGUUCGGCGGUAUUGUGAGAUGAAGCGGCCCGGACCGACAUUACGCGUACGCUUACGCGAGACUGGUUUCACCGUUACGAGCACUCGUGCUUAAAGGUGACUGGCGGGUGACUGUCUCUCUCACUUUAGCUGAAUCGAGUGUGGCUACGCCUGGUCCUUGCGAAGGUUAAAACAGCACAACUUGACGAACUAUCGUUGUGGUUUUGAUGCGUAGGUAAGAACGGUUCUUGCUAAGCCCGUAGUAGCCACGUAAAACUUGCAACAACAAAGUAGAGGACGUCUAACUUGUUUUUGCAGGGCAUGUUGUGAUGUGAUAUGGUCAAGACGUGAUGCUAUAUUUUAUUGUAUGAGAUGAUCAUGUUUUGUAACCGAAGUUAUCGGCAACUGGCAGGAGCCAUAUGGUUGUCGCUUUAUUGUAUGAAAUGCAAAUGCCCUGUAAUUGCUUUACUUUAUCACUAAGCGGUAGCGAUAGUCGUAGAAGCAAAAGAUGGCGUAAAUGACAACAAUGCUACGAUGAAGAUCAAGGUGUCGCGCCGGUGACGAUGGUGAUCACGACGGUGCUUCGGAGAUGGAGAUCACAAGCACAAGAUGAUGAUGGCCAUAUCAUAUCACUUAUAUUGAUUGCAUGUGAUGUUUAUCCUUUAUGCAUCUUAUCUUGCUUUGAUUGACGGUAGCAUUUUAAGAUAAUCUCUCACUAAAAUUAUCAAGAAGUGUUCUCCCUGAGUAUGCACCGUUGCCAAAGUUCGUCGUGCCCAGACACCACGUGAUGAUCGGGUGUGAUAAGCUCUACGUCCAUCUACAACGGGUGCAAGCCAGUUUUGCACAUGCAGAAUACUCAGGUUAAACUUGACGAGCCUAGCAGAUGCAGAUAUGGCCUCAGAACACGGAGACCGAAAGGUCGAGCGUGAAUCAUAUAGUAGAUAUGAUCAACAUAGUGAUGUUCACCAUUGAAAACUACUCCAUCUCACGUGAUGAUCGGUUAUGGUUUAGUUGAUUUGGAUCACGUGAUCACUUAGAUGACUAGAGAGAUGUCUGUCUAAGUGGGAGUUCUUAAGUAAUAUGAUUAAUUGAACUUAAAUUUAUCAUGAACUUAGUACCUGAUAGUAUUUUUCUUAUCUAUGUUUGUUGUAGAUAGAUGGCUCGUGCUGUUGUUUCGUUGAAUUUUAAUGCGUUCCUUGAGAAAGCAAAGUUGAAAGAUGAUGGUAGCAAUUACACGGACUGGGUCCGUAACUUGAGGAUUAUCCUCAUUGCUGCACAGAAGAAUUACGUCCUGGAAGCACCGCUGGGUGCCAGGCCUGCUGCUGAUGCAACUGACAACGUUAAGAACGUCUGGCAGAGCAAAGCUGAUGACUACUCGAUAGUUCAGUGUGCCAUGCUUUACGGCUUAGAACCGGGUCUUCAAUGACGUUUUGAACGUCAUGGAGCAUAUGAGAUGUUCCAGGAGUUGAAGUUAAUAUUUCAAGCAAAUGCCCGGAUUGAGAGAUAUGAAGUCUCCAAUAAGUUCUAUAGCUGCAAGAUGGAGGAGAAUAGUUCUGUCAGUGAACACAUACUCAAAAUGUCUGGGUAUAACAAUCACUUGAUUCAACUGGGAGUUAAUCUUCCUGGUGAUAGUGUCAUUGACAGAAUUCUCCAAUCACUGCCACUAAGCUACAAGAGCUUCGUGAUGAACUAUAAUAUGCAAGGGAUGAACAAGACAAUUCUUGAGCUCUUCGCAAUGCUAAAAGCUGCGGAAGUAGAAAUCAAGAAGGAGCAUCAAGUGUUGAUGGUAACAAGACCACUAGUUUCAAGAAAAAGGGCAAAGGGAAGAAGAAGGGGAACUUCAAGAAGAACAGCAAGCAAGUUGCUGCUCAAGAGAAGAAACCCAAGUCUGGACCUAAGCCUGAAACUGAGUGCUUCUACUGCAAGCAGACUGGACACUGGAAGUGGAACUGCCCCAAGUAUUUGGCGGAUAAGAAGGAUGGCAAGGUGAACAAAGGUAUAUGUGAUAUACAUGUUAUGUGUACCUUACUAGAGCUCGCAGUAGCACCUGGGUAUUUGAUACCGGUUCUGUUGCUAACAUUUGCAACUCGAAACAGGGACUACGGAAUAAGCGAGCACUAGCCAAGGAUGAGGUGACGAUGCGCGUGGGAAACGGUUCCAAAGUCGAUGUGAUCGCGGUCGGCACGCUACCUCUACAUCUACCUCCGGGAUUAGUUUUAGACCUGAAUAAUUUUUAUUUGGUGCCAGCGUUGAGCAUGAACAUUAUAUCUGGAUCUUGUUUGAUGCGAGACGGUUAUUCAUUUAAAUCAGAGAAUAAUGGUUGUUCUAUUUAUAUGAGUAAUAUCUUUUAUGGUCAUGCACCCUUGAAGAGUGGUCUAUUUUUGUUGAAUCUCGAUAGUAGUGAUACACAUAUUCAUAAUGUCGAAGCCAAAAGAUGCAGAGUUAAUAAUGAUAGUGCAACUUAUUUGUGGCACUGCCGUUUAGGUCAUAUCAGUGUAAAGCGCAUGAAGAAACUCCAUACUGAUGGAAUUUUGGAAUCACUUGAUUAUGAAUCACUUGGUACUUGCGAACCGUGCCUCAUGGGCAAGAUGACUAAAACACCAUUCUCCGGUACUAUGGAGAGAGCAACAGAUUUGUUGGAAAUCAUACAUACAGAUGUAUGCGGUCCGAUGAAUGUUGAAGCUCGUGGCAGAUAUCGUUAUUUUCUCACCUUCACAGAUGAUUUAAGCAGAUAUGGGUAUAUCUACUUAAUGAAACACAAGUCUGAAACAUUUGAAAAGUUCAAAGAAUUUCAAAGUGAAGUGGAAAAUCAUCGUAACAAGAAAAUAAAAUUCCUACGAUCUGAUCAUGGAGGAGAAUAUUUGAGUUACGAGUUUGGUUUACAUUUGACACAAUGCGGAAUAGUUUCGCAGCUCACGCCACCCGGAACACCACAACGAAAUGGUGUGUCCGAACGUCGUAAUCGUACUUUACUAGAUAUGGUGCGAUCUAUGAUGUCUCUUACUGAUUUACCGCUAUCGUUCUGGGGUUAUGCUUUAGAGACGGCCGCAUUCACGUUAAAUAGGGCACCAUCAAAAUCCGUUGAGACGACGCCUUAUGAACUGUGGUUUGGCAAGAAACCAAAAUUGUCGUUUCUUAAAGUUUGGGGCUGCGAUGCUUAUGUGAAGAAACUUCAACCAGAUAAGCUCAAACCUAAACCGGAGAAAUGUGUCUUCAUAGGAUACCCGAAAGAAACAGUUGGGUAUACCUUCUAUCACAGAUCCGAAGGCAAGACAUUCGUUGCUAAGAAUGGAUCCUUUCUAGAGAAGGAGUUUCUCUCGAAAGAAGUGAGUGGGAGGAAAGUAGAACUUGAUGAGGUAACUGUACCUGCUCCCUUAUUGGAAAGUAGUUCAUCACAUGAAUCGGUUCCUGUGACACCUACACCAAUUAGUGAGGAAGCUAAUGAUAUUGAUCAUGAAACUUCAGAUCAAGUUUCUACUGAACUUCGAAGGUCUACCAGAGUAAGAUUCGCACUAGAGUGGUACAGUAAUCCUAUUCUAUAAAUCAUGUUACUUGACCAUGACGAACCUACGAACUAUGAGGAAGCGAUGAUGAGCCCAGAUUCCGCAAAAUGGCUAGAGGCCAUGAAAUCUGAGAUGGGAUCCAUGUAUGAGAACAAAGUAUGGACUUUGGUUGACUUGCCCGAUGAUCGGCAGGCCAUUGAGAAUAAAUGGAUCUUUAAGAAGAAGACUGACGCUGAUGGUAAUGUAACUGUCUAUAAAGCUCGACUUGUCGCAAAAGGUUUUCGACAAGUUCAAGGGGUUGACUAUGAUGAGACUUUCUCACCCGUAGCGAUGCUUAAGUCUGUCCAAAUCAUGUUAGUCAUUGCUGCAUUUCAUGAUUAUGAAAUCUGGCAAAUGGAUGUCAAAACUGCAUUCUUGAAUGGAUUUCUGGAAGAAGAGUUGUAUAUGAUGCAGCCAGAAGGUUUUGUUGAUCCAAAGGUGCUAACAAAGUAUGCAAGCUCCAGCGAUCCAUUUAUGGACUGGUGCAAGCAUCUCGGAGUUGGAAUAAACGCUUUGAUAGUGUGAUCAAAGCAUAUGGUUUUAUACAGACUUUUGGAGAAGCCUGUAUUUACAAGAAAGUGAGUGGGAGCUCUGUAGCAUUUCUGAUAUUAUAUGUAGAUGACAUAUUAUUAAUUGGAAAUGAUAUAGAAUUUCUGGAUAGCAUAAAGGGAUACUUGAAUAAAAGUUUUUCAAUGAAAGAUCUAGGUGAAGCUUCUUACAUAUUGGGCAUCAAGAUCUAUAGAGAUAGAUCAAGACGCUUAAUAGGACUUUCACAAAGCACAUACCUUGAUAAAAUUUUGAAAAGGUUCAAAAUGGAUCAGGCAAAGAAAGGGUUCUUGCCCGUGCUUCAAGGUGUGAAGUUGAGUCAAACUCAAUGCCCGACCACAGCAGAAGAUAGAGAGAAAAUGAAAGAUGUUCCCUAUGCUUCAGCCAUAGGCUCUAUCAUGUAUGCAAUGCUGUGUACCAGACCUGACGUAUGCUUAGCAAUAAGUUUGGCAGGGAGGUACCAAAGUAAUCCAGGAGUGGAUCACCGGACAGCGGUCAAGAACAUCCUGAAAUACCUGAAAAGGACUAAGGAUAUGUUUCUCGUAUAUGGAGGUGACAAAGAGCUAGUCGUAAAUGGUUACAUCGAUGCAAGCUUUGACACUGAUCCGGACGAUUCUAAAUCGCAAACCGGAUACGUGUUUUUAUUAAACGGUGGAGCUGUAAGUUGGUGCAGUUCUAAACAAAGCGCCGUGGCGGGAUCUACAUGUGAAGCUGAGUACAUAGCUGCUUCGGAAGCAGCAAAUGAAGGAGUCUGGAUGAAGGAGUUCAUUACCGAUCUAGGUGUCAUACCUAGUGCAUCGGGACCAAUGAAGAUCUUCUGUGACAAUACUGGUGCAAUUGCUUUGGCAAAGGAAUCUAGAUUUCACAAGAGGACCAAGCACAUCAAGAGACACUUCAAUUCCAUCCGGGACCAAGUCCAAGUGGGAGACAUAGAAAUUUGCAAGAUACAUACAGAUCUGAAUGUUGCAGACCCAUUGACUAAGCCUCUCUCACGAGCAAAACAUGAUCAGCACCAAGACUCCAUGGGUGUUAGAAUCAUUACUAUGUAAUCUAGAUUAUUAACUCUAGUGCAACUGGGAGACUGAAGGAAAUAUGCCCUAGAGGCAAUAAUAAAGUUAUUAUUUAUUUCCUCAUAUCAUGAUAAAUGUUUAUUAUUCAUGCUAAAAUUGUAUUAACCGGAAACAUGAUACAUGUGUGAAUACAUAGACAAACAUAUAGUCACUAGUAUGCCUCUACUUGACUAGUUCAUUAAUCAAAGAUGGUUAUGUUUCCUAACCAUAGACAUGUGUUGUCAUUUGAUUAAUGGGAUCACAUCAUUAGGAGAAUGAUGUGAUUGACAUGACCCAUUCCGUUAGCCUAGCACUUGAUCGUUUAGUAUAUUGCUAUUGCUUUCUUCAUGACUUAUACAUGUUCCUGUAACUAUGAGAUUAUGCAACUCCCGUUUACCGGAGGAACACUUUGGGUACUACCAAACGUCACAAUACUACAGGUGUCUCCGAAGGUACAUGUUGAGUUGGCGUAUUUCGAGAUUAGGUUUUGUCACUCCGAUUGUCGGAGAGGUAUCUCUGGGCCCUUUCGGUAAUGCACAUCACUAUAAGCCUUGCAAGCAAUGUGACCAAUGAGUUGGUUACGGGAUGAUGCAUUACGUAACGAGUAAAGAGACUUGCCGGUAACGAGAUUGAACUAGGUAUUGGAUACCGACGAUCAAAUCUCGGGCAAGUAACAUACCGAUGACAAAGGGAAGAACGUAUGUUGUUAUGCGGUUUGACCGAUAAAGAUCUUCGUAGAAUAUGUAGGAACCAAUAUGGACAUCUAGGUUCCGCUAUUGGUUAUUGACCGAGAAUAGUUCUAGGUCAUGUCUACAUAGUUCUCGAACCCGUAGGGUCCGCACACUUAAGGUUUUGAUGACAGUUUUAUUAUGAGUUUGUGAGUGUUGAUGUACCGAAGGAGUUCGGAGUCCCGGAUGAGAUCGGGGACAUGACGAGGAGUCUCGAAAUGAUCGAGACGUAAAGAUCGAUAUAUUGGACGACUAUAUACGGAGUUCGGAAAGGUUCCGAGUGAUUCGGGUAUUUUUCGGAGUACCAGAGAGUUAUGGGAAUUCGCCGGGGAGUAUAUGGGCCUUAUUGGGCCAUACGGGAAUAGAGGAGAGAGGCCGAAAGGAAGGAGGCGCGCAGCCCCCCUCUGGUCCGAAUUGGACAAGGGGUGCGGCCCCCCUUUCCUUCCUCCUCUCCCCCUCUUUCCCCCCUUCUCCUACUCCAACAAGGAAGGAGGGAGUCCUACUCCCGGUGGGAGUAGGACUCCCCUUGGCGCGCCCCUCCUAGGCCGGCCGCCCCCUCCCCCCUUGUUCCUUUAUAUACGGGGGCAGGGGGGCACCUCUAGGGAGAACAACACAAGUUGAUCUACGAAUCGUUCCUUAGCCGUGUGCGGUGCCCCCCUCCACCAUAUUCCACCUUGGUCAUAUCGUCGCGGAGUUUAGGCGAAGCCCUGCGCCGGUAGAACAUCAUCAUCGUCACCACGCCAUCGUGCUGACGGAACUCAUCCCCGAAGCUUUGCUGGAUCGGAGCCCGGGGAUCGUCAUCGAGCUGAACGUGUGCUGAACUUGGAGGUGCCGUACGUUCGGUGCUUGGAUCGGUCAGAUCGUGAAGACGUACGACUACAUCAACCGCGUUGUCAUAACGCUUCCGCUUACGGUCUCCGAGGGUACGUGGACAACACUCUCCCCUCUCGUUGCUAUGUCAUCAUCAUGAUCUUGCGUGUACGUAGGAAAACUGUUGAAAUUACUACGUUCCCCAACAGAGGCCACUUCUCGAGCUGGUAAGUUCGUUCGACCAGGUUUCAUUUAGUCGAGUGGAUCGUCAAUCGGCUGGGUUUUUGAUAUUUCGCUCUUUCUGUAGUUCCACAGGAGGUCAUCGUACUCCCCGAUGAAGAAGAAGAAGAAGAAGUGCCUCUGCAGGAGAGGAGGAAGAGGAGUGGAGGUUCGAGCAGAAAGAGACUCGAAGUCCAGGUCCCUCAGUCGAUGCCGGUGCUUGAGGCGGUGGUCGAACGUUCCGGGGAGCCGGUUCAGACCAACGUCACAUUUGCCGACCCACUGACGACUGAUCGUCCAUCGAGAUCGGCUGCUCCAACUCCUGUUGCUCCGGUGCAACUCCACGCGUCUGACCCAGUAACCGCUUCGACUGCCUUGCAACCAUCACUCUUCGCUGCCUAUCAGACCCCAGACGACUCGCCGAGUGCUGCCAGGGAGGCUCUUCGCCAGGUGAACCUUGUCAUGGAGCAGGUGAAGGUGAUGCACGAGGCUAGUCAGGUGGCUUACAACGCCAGCACUGCCCUUCAGACCAAUGUUCAGGUCAGCAAAACACCGAGUGAACUUUUGAAUGUUGAGUUAUAUCCGAGCACCCACUGGGGUGUUUCUUUGCAUAGAGAUCAGGAAACCUUCCACUCCACUCGACUCAAGCUGAGUCUUAAUAAAUUGUCUGAACCAGUGGGGGCACGCUAAGUGCACCCACUGGGUGUAGUCCCCGAGACCACGGUCGACUGCUGGCAGUCGACUAAGGUCUUAGAAUGUACUCCUGUUGUGUUGUUUUUUUUGGACUCACGCUGGGCAGGCCCCGCUGAGUAUUGAUCUGAACCAGUGGGGGCAUGCUAAGUGCACCCACUGGGUGUAGUCCUCGAGACUAUUGUUGAAUAUUUGAUUUAGCAAUAGUCUUAGAGUAACUUUUCAUUGUCACUUGCUCUUAUUCCUGUCGACUGACAAAUCUCUCCUGCUGACCGCAGAGGUCGUGUGAUCUUGGAGCUCGACUUUCUGAGUUGAAGAAGAAGCACAUCAGCGUUGAACUUGACCUUGAACUCGCAAAGAAGAACCUCAAGACCGCCUAACAAGAAACGACCAUCAUGGGAGGUAAUCGUUCGACUGUCUAGUCUGUCUUGUAGCUCGCACUUCCCACUUCUUUUCUUUUCAGUUUCUUUGAACCGAGUGAAUUCACACAAGCAGAUGUGCGUAGUGAAAAUCGCCAACUUCAGUCCCAUCUGAGGAGUGUUGUUUCUUUAGAGAGGAUGAAGGAGGCUUUGGAGAAGAAGGAUCUGGAUCUGGCGGCUACUCAGAAGGAAGCACGUGAGAAGACGAAGCUUGCGGACUAGAAGCUAGCUUCAGUCGGCAAAUUGGAGGAGGAGAACACAAAUUUGAAUACCGCCAUCUCGGACGCUAAUCGAGAAGUCGAGCAGCUGAGGAAGGACAAGGAAAAUCUGAGCACUGAAUUCGGCGGCCUCAGAACCAAGACAAACAAGCUAGAGUCCUAUCUAGAGCAACUCGCCGUGAAACUUGUUCUGAAGCUUGAAGGUAUGAUCAUUCGACUGAAGUUAACUUGUCGUCGACUCAAGUUUGUUGUCACAUUGUCGACUCAUUGCUUUUCGCGAUGGGACAGAACUUUGUUAGGACUUUGAAGCUGAAACCGGGCUGGUGAAACCUGCUGCAGUUGGAGUCACGUUUGGAUGGUGCAGUCGCUCAUCUGGCUCGAUUGAAGGCGGAGAUGACCCGAGUGGAUGCUGAGCUCUGUCCUCGGGCUGAACUUUCUGAAGACCUCGAGUCGCUGAUGACUCGACUUAAUCAGAUUCCCGACCGAGUGCAAGAGUGGAAGAAGUCCUCUGCUCGUUGUGGUGCUGAUGUCGCCUUGUCAUUGGUUCGAGUGCACUGCAAGGAGGCUAAGGAAGACAAGAUGGCCGCCCUCAAGGUAGCGAAUACUAAGAAGCAUUCCUUCGAGUCUUUCAUGGACACCUUCCUCGAGGCAGCCACUCGUAUUGCCGACAGCAUCGACCUCGAUAGUUUCUGCGAUCCUGCCAGUCCUUCUCCCGCCGAGUGACUGAAAAACAUUAUGCAUCACUUUUAUUUGCCUCGGAAUGCCGAGUGAUUUUGUAAUCGUUAAAACUCCUUCGGGCCUGAUGCCUGAGUACUUUAAUCGGCGGUUAGGAAUCUUUGGAUUUAUCUUCGAACAUGUUGCUCUUAUCUUCGAUUGAAAUCCGUUCUUAUCUUGGAUUGGUUUUUGUUUAUUCGACGCGGCUUCUGAAAAAGAAUCCGCAGUCGACCAGUUGGACGAGCCUUGAGCAGCAUUGAUCAGCUCACCAGCAAGGCACUCAGCAAUGAUCUUGAUGUUCCUGCCAUCGGCAAGGCGCACAAUCUCGUCCUUCUUCUUGACAGCAUAGCCCCCGGGGGGGAGCCAGUCGACUGGUUGGACGAGCUCUAAAUAGCAUUGAUCAGCUCAUCAGCGAGGCAUUCAGCAAUGGUCUUGACGUUCCUGAAAGUGGCUUGCCUAGGCAACACACUCAAUCUCGCCCUUCUUCUUGAUGGUGCAACUCUGGAGUGAGGGUAAUGGUCGACCCGCACUUUGAUAAGCCUUCGAGUGAAAAGAUCAAUUUUCACUCGGGAAGGUUUCCCAAACUUAGGCGAGUACUGGACUGCAGCUAAGCCCCCCGAGUGAGAGGCGGACUCUUCACUCGGUAGGAUCUUUGUAACUUAGGCGAGUACUGGACUGCAUCUAAGCCUCCGAGUAAGAGGAUUGCUCACCACUCGGUAGGAUUUUUUAAACUUAGGUGAGUUCUGGACCACAGCUAAGCCCCCGAGUGAGAGGAUUGCUCACCACUCGGUAGAAUUUUUCGAACUUAGGCGAGUACUGGACUGCAGCUAAGCCUCCGAGUGAGAGGGUUCCUCACCACUCGGUAGGAUUUUUCAAACUUAGGCGGGUACUGGACCGCAGCUAAGCCCCCGAGNNNNNNNNNNNNNNNNNNNNNNNNNNNNNNNNNNNNNNNNNNNNNNNNNNNNNNNNNNNNNNNNNNNNNNNNNNNNNNNNNNNNNNNNNNNNNNNNNNNNNNNNNNNNNNNNNNNNNNNNNNNNNNNNNNNNNNNNNNNNNNNNNNNNNNNNNNNNNNNNNNNNNNNNNNNNNNNNNNNNNNNNNNNNNNNNNNNNNNNNNNNNNNNNNNNNNNNNNNNNNNNNNNNNNNNNNNNNNNNNNNNNNNNNNNNNNNNNNNNNNNNNNNNNNNNNNNNNNNNNNNNNNNNNNNNNNNNNNNNNNNNNNNNNNNNNNNNNNNNNNNNNNNNNNNNNNNNNNNNNNNNNNNNNNNNNNNNNNNNNNNNNNNNNNNNNNNNNNNNNNNNNNNNNNNNNNNNNNNNNNNNNNNNNNNNNNNNNNNNNNNNNNNNNNNNNNNNNNNNNNNNNNNNNNNNNNCCGUACCAUUUGGUAGGAUUUUUGUAACUUAGGCGAGUACUGGACUGCAGCUAAGCCCCCUGAGUGAGAGGCGGGCUCUUCACUCGGUAGGAUUUUUGUAACUUAGGCGAGUACUGGACUGCAGCUAAGCCCUCGAGUGAGAGGCGGACUCUUCACUCGGUAGGAUUUUUGUAACUUAGGCAAGUACUGGACUGCAGCUAAGCCCCUGAGUGAGAGGCGGACUCUUCACUCGGUAGGAUUUUUCAAACUUAGGCGAGUACUGGACUGUAGCUAAGCCCCCGAGUGAGAGGCGGACUCUUCACCCGGUAGUAUUUUUUCUCAGACUUAGGCGAAACGGAUUUGCAGCUAAGCCCCCUAGUGAGAGGCGGACUCUUCACUCGGUAGGAUUUUUUCUCAGACUUAGGCGAAACGGAUUCGCACCUAAGGCACCCACUGGGUGAUUUUUAAAAAAACAUGUAGAAAAUGAACAACAAUCAUUCGGAAAACUGUAAAGUCAUGUCUCUUGAUAAUCAAACUAAAAGGUACUUGUUAUUACAUCUCAUUGGUCUAAACACUUAAGAGUAAAAAGGGCGGAGCAGUUCCACGUUACAAGCGUGUGGCUCAUAUUUAUUGUGCUCGACGUUGAAGAGGCGAUAUGCUCCGUUGUGGAGCACUUUGGUGACGACGAAAGGGCCUUCCCAAGCAUGAGUGAGCUUGUGUGGCUUCUGCUGGUCCACUCGGAGAACCAGGUCUCCUUCUUGAAAUGCCCGUCCCCUUACGUUUCUGGCGUGGAAUCGACGCAAGUCUUGCUGAUAGAUGGUCGACCGGAUCAAGGCCAUCUCUCUUUCUUCUUCUAGUAGAUCGACUGCAUCUUGCCGAGCCUGCUUUGCUUCCUCUUCUGAGAAGAGUUCGAAUCGGGGCGCGUUGUGGAGCAAAUCACUUGGGAGUACGGCUUCGGCUCCGUAGACUAAGAAGAAUGGAGUCCGUCCAGUCAACCGAUUGGGAGUCGUCCUCAAUCCCCAAAGCAUUGACGGGAGCUCAUCAACCCAAGCACCUGCUGCAUGCUUGAGGUCACGCAUCAACCAGGGUUUCAGUCCUUUGAGAAUCAAUCCAUUCGCUCGCUCAGCCUGCCCAUUCGACUAAGGGUGAGCAACCGAGGCGUAAUCGACCCUCAUGCCUUGGGAAGCACAAAAGGCUCUGAAUUCAUUAGAGUUGAAGUUCGACCCGUUGUCCGUGAUGAUGUUGUGCGGAACACCAUAUCUGAAUAUCAAUUCCCUGAUGAAACUCACAGUAGUACUUGCCUCGAGAUUUUUAAUGGGCUUGGCUUCGAUCCACUUGGUAAACUUGUCGAUUGCCACUAGCACAUGGGUAAAUCCGCUCCUGCCGGUCCUCAGAGGCCCAACCAUGUCCAAUCCCCAAACAGCAAAAGGCCAGAUGAGUGAAAUAGUCUUCAGAGCUGAUGCAGGUUUAUGGGACAUGUUGGAGUAAAAUUGACAACCUUCACACUUGUCCACUAUUUCCUUUGCCAUCUCAUUGGCACGUGUCCAGUAAAAUCCGGCUCGAUAUGCUUUGGCCACGAUGGUCCGAGAUGACGCAUGGUGACUAUCGGUGUCAAAACCGGCGGAUCUCGAGUAGGGGGUCCCGAACUAUGCGUCUAGGCGGAUGGUAACAGGAGACAAGGGACACGAUGUUUUUACCUAGGUUCGGGCCCUCUCGAUGGAGGUAAAACCCUACUCCUGCUUGAUUAAUAUUGAUGAUAUGGGUAGUACAAGAGUAGAUCUACCACGAGAUCGGAGUGGCUAAACCCUAGAAGCUAGCCUAUGGUAUGAUUGUUGUUCGUCCUAUGGACUAAAACUCUCCGGUUUAAAUAGACACCGGAGAGGGCUAGGGUUACACAGAGUCGGUUACAGUGGGAGGAGAUCUUCAUAUCGUAUCGCCAAGCUUGCCUUCCACGCCAAGGAAAGUCCCAUCCGGACACGGGAUGGAGUCUUCAAUCUUGUAUCUUCAUAGUCCAGGAGUCCGGCCAAAGGUCUUAGUCCGGCCAUCCGGACACCCCCUAAUCCAGGACUCCCUCAGUAGCCCCUGAACCAGGCUUCAAUGACGACGAGUCUGGCACGCAAGUUGUCUUCGGCAUUGCAAGGCGGGUUCCUCCUCCGAAUAUUUCAUAGAAGAUGUUGAACACCAGGGUAGUGUCCGGCUCUGCAAAAUAAGUUCCACAUUCCACCUUAGAGAGAAUAAUAUUUGCGUUAAUCGGAUCUGCUGACGUAUUCCGCGGCAUGACAUCAUGCCACGGCCAGGCUUUUAUUCAUUUUAUUGUUCCACAUCAGCGUGUUUAGCGAGGCGGUUUCCUUGGCACGUCUUGUCAAAGCAGAGAUUGUGUCCCCUUAUUCCGGGAUUCUCAUCAAUACGGGUGUGGGUAACCCAACCGCGCCAUUAACCGCGGCGCUUGAGAGAUAAGCGAGUUUUAUUAGGCCGGUGGGGGGCUCGUAGUUUUGGCCGCCCAUAUAAGGGGAUAAGAAUCCGCCCUUUCCAUUCACGCCUUCCUCCUCCUCUACUUAUCCGUCCCUGCGCGCUCGAGCUCCAGCGCCCAGGCCCACACUUCCCACCUCAACCUUCUCCAACCAUGUCCGGAGUGGGAGGUAGAUGGAUGGCCUCCUCCGUCAUGGAGGGGCAAAUCAAAAAACUGAGGAAGGCCGGAUACUUGUCUAACGACAUCGAGCACCGGCUUCCAGAUGUGGGGCAACUCAUCCCCACCCCCAGGCCCCAUGAGAGGGUUGUUUUUCUUCCCCAUUUCCUCCGCGGACUGGGUUUUCCUCUUCACCCGUUCGUCCGGGGGCUCAUGUUCUACUACGGCCUGGACUUCCACGAUCUGGCCCCGAACUUCAUCCUCAAUAUCUUGGCGUUUAUCAUCGUGUGUGAGGCCUUCUUCCGCAUCCAGCCCCACUUUGGCCUAUGGCUGAAGAUCUUCAACGUCAAGCCGAAGGUUGUGAAAGGCCGACAAGCGGAAUGCAGAGGUGCCAUGGUGGGCAAGAUAGCCAACGUCACCUGGCUCGAGGGUGCCUUCGUGGAGACCAUCAAAGGGUGGCAAUCGGGGUGGUUUUAUAUCACCGAGCCGCGUGACCCUAAGUGGGCAGCGGCCCCCGAAUUUCGAUUCGGCAUCCCCACCCAGCUCACAUCUUGGAAAGAGACGGGCCUGUCGUGGGGCAAUCCGGAAGAGGUGACCGGACUCCAAACUUGCGUCCGAGGCCUGGUGACCAAGAAGGUCAAGCUUGUCAAUGUGGUCCAGGUUAUGCUCUUCCGCCGGAUACUCCCGUGUCAACAACGGGACUUCAAUUUGUGGGAGUUCGACCCGGCCCAGCACCAGACUCUAUCCCGGCUCUUCGAAAUGAAGCACGAGGACGCCUGGAAGGUGCUUUUCAAGAGUUCCGAGGUCUCCCCUCCCGUCAUCGAGGAUCGCGGAUUCUGCGCCAAACGUCAAGCCUCCGAAGUAAGCUUACAUUUAGUCCCUUACGGGAUACCCAAAUUUCAUAGUGUGACUUUAUGUGGGAUCUAAACUCCCGUUCCUUUGACAGAACUGGAAGAAGACAUCCGGACAGUUUGACUAUCCGGCUCCUUUGCCCGAAGGCCCAGCAGACGUGCAAUUAGCAAAGCUACUAGUUCCGGCACCUCACGUGGUGCCAGAGAAGAAGGCCAGGGAGAAGACCGCGGGGACCCGAAAGAGUUCCCGGUGCCCGGUGGCAUCGGAUUUUCCCGACAACCCCAACGCACCCUCCGCCUCUGAAGACGAGGAGGAAGAAGAAGAAGAAGAUGCCUCUCCCCCUCCAGCGGGGGGAGGAAAGAAAAGAAAGGCCGCCCCAACUGGGGAAGCCGGAGGGUCCAAGAAGGGGAAGACCCUUCUGCCGGACUACGCCCCCGACGCCGAAGACGGCGGGGGGGAAUGGCCAUCCAAGGUCAAGCCCCUGGCAAAAUCGUAAGUGUCCGGCUACCCGAAUGACUUAUUGCACUUCUUUAUUAUUCGAUAGCUUCUAACGCCGAAUCUAAUCAUGCAGUCCACCCAGAGCUCAGCUUGGCGAUUCGUCGAGCGGCUCUCUGAAUUUGUCGGACGUGAAUAGCGCUUCACUUCCGACGGCCUCCUCCCCUCUCCCUACAGACGACGCUGAGGUGGAGUCCCGUAGGGGACAAAACCAGGAGGAGGUGGUCCUGGAGGCGCCACAAGGGGACCGUCCGGACUCCAGGCCCAAAGGGGGUAAAGCUCCGAAGGGAUCUAAGUCCGGCCCCGGGCCAGACACUGCUUCGGAACCAUCAGUGGUUCCAGAGUCCGACAGGCGGCGCCUUCAUAAUAAGGGCAAGCCUGCGACGCCGGCGACUUCCGUCCACUCGGAAGCGCCGGACAAUUUGCUGGAGGCGCUUAACGGUGCCUCCAUCGACGAGGAACACCGCACUGUUAUGAGUGUGGUGAUUCAGAAGGUUCAGUCCGCCAGGAGCGGGCUGACGGAAGCCUGCACAAGCCUGUUAACGGGCUUUGAGGUAUGUGUUCAAAAACAUUUAUAAAAAAUAUUACCGCAUAGAUAGUAGCCCCUGAUGCUCAGUUCAGUGUUCGGAAAGAAAAGUCGAGCUGAGGAUCUAAAAAGAUAUACGCAGGAGUUUAAUAGAAAUAUGUCAAUACGGGAAUGCAGGCUGCGCUGCUGACCUCUGCCGCACUGACUGCGGAGGUCAAUGCAUUGAAGGAAAGCCUCGAGCGGUCCGAGAGCGAGCUCGGCCGUGCCAAGAGGCAGCUCGAGGAUAAAGAGGGUACAUAGUACCUCCUGUAAAUGUAUAUAGAAAUACUUGGUUGCAAAAUAAGAACAGGACCAACGUUAAUGUUGCAGGAGCCACAACCGAGGUGGUGACCCUGAAAGAGGCGGUCUCUGAGGCCGAAAAGAGUGCGGCCUUGGAGCGCACCGAGCGAGAGAAGCAGGAGGCGCGGGUGGCGGAGGUGCGGCAAGAGCUCCAGGCUCUCAUGGAAAAACACGAGAGUUUGGAGCGUGACUCAAAGACUCGAGAGUCCGAGCUUGCCUUGGCUCUUGAGAGUGCCAAGACCGCUAAGGCCGAAGCCCAGAAGGCCCUUCAGGAGAUCGAGGCGAUGAAGAAGAUAGCGGCGAGUAAGGCAUUCUUUAUGCAAAGCAAAAAUAUAAAAGUUAAUUAUCUGCUACUUACCCGAAUCCGGAGCUCUCCAGGAGCGUUCGCCGAUCUGCCCCGUAGUGUGUCUGAUGCCGCCGCAUACUACCGAGCCGAAGAGGGGAGCUCGAUGGAAAAAGUGUUCUAGUCUCAGUAUGCUGAGGCCGAACAUCCGGUGCCCCUGAGCGACCAGCUGAAGCAGCUGGUCGAGCUCCACAAGGUGGCCGAACAGGCCAUGAAGGGCCUCAUAGCUCGGCUGUGGCCUGGAGAAGUCAUGCCUGGGAGCUACUUCGGUCUGGUGCGGCGGCUGGUGGACGCGUGUUCGUGGAUUGAGGUCGUCAACUGCUUCAUUUGUAUUGAAGGUGCCCGUCGGGCCCUUGCCCGUGCUAAGGUGCACUGGGGCAAGCUAGAUGCGGAGAAGCUGUUGACGGACGCGCCACCGCCGGGCAAGGAGUAUCGUACACCCCAGAUGUAUUAUAAUGGCGUUCUGAAGGGUGCCCGCCGUAUAGCGGAUGAGUGCUCCAAAGAUGUAAUUUUUAGUAGACUCGCAUUUGUUAUCCUGUACGCUGAAGCUUUGUUCAUAUGCGUUAAGAAACGCUUGUUAAUUUAAAAUAUUACCUUCUGUGCGGCCGUUUAUCAAAUCUGAGAGAUGCAAGUCAUCGGCUUCGACCCCCAUGCCACGAGUGCUGGGGUGUUCGGGAUAAACCUGAGCGCUCUUGUUCCCAUUCUUGGGUCCAUCUAGGGAGGCGUUCAGCACAACGAACCAGGCCGUCGGACUUAUAAUGCUUUAUCACUCUCACUUAGCCAUAGAAUUCUAUAAUUUUAAAUUUCGGCGAAGCCCCUAGUAUUCGGAAGACCGAGUUCGGGGCGCUAUCCACGCCUAGGCCGGAUAAGUCCGGUUCCUCGCUCGAAGCGGCAUAAGUCUUUAAGGACUCGAAGAAACCUUGCGAACAGCGACCGGUCUCUCGCACUAUCAUGACAGUCAGUUUUAGCUUUCUCUACUGAGGUGUUAACCCAGCUAAACUGGGGCACAAUCGCAGUAGUUCUCCCAGCGCUACCUUAGCCAACAAUGCGGAACGUAAGGUACCAAAACAUGGGAGCCGGGCAAACCCAACUAUUGACCAAAGACAUGAUUCGGAGCCGAUGCAUAUAGUGCUAUAAGUUCGGGGUGCCGCACUCAUGAGAGUGUUCGGUCUUCUCACACCAUGUUAUGGGGUGUUGUAAGCCCCUGGUGUAUUGUCCGCACCAAAGUGUACGGUUGCAGAAUGUCAUGACUGAACAUAUUUGUAUAUAAAAAUAGAUAAGUACAAUAAUAGGUAAGAGCUAUAUAUUGUUUAUUAAAAAAGGGCUGCUGUGAAAGCAGAAUGAUACAAGAAGUGCGGUAAGCAAGAGAUGGGAGUAUUUGACAUAUUCCCCUCCAGGGGCAAGCUGCGGGAUUGUAAGUAAAACAGGUAUUAAACUCGUUUUAGAGACCACCUGGACUUUUGACGUGGCUUGCUCCCUCCCUAACUGUUGCAUCGUUGGUUCAGCGAGUGUAUUGCCGGACAUGCCUUCCGAAUAGUUGGGUCCUGAAAGUGUGUAAAAAGGAAAACGGCGAAAUAGGGAGCCCCUUAGUGUGGUUGAGCCGCCUUCUGGGCGUGUCAUUGUUGUGCCCCUUCCCAUAUGCCCAUGGUAUCUCUAAGGCAUAAUUAUGUAUGCGUGGUACCAGUAUCGCCGUUUGGCGGGGGCUGGGGUUGGGGCCGCACUGCUAUGCUUGCUCGGAAUGUGCCAGCUAGAUUUGUUGGAGGUUACUUCGGGCUCGCUUGGCGUUGUCCGGACGUUUGACGCCUGGAUUGGAGAACUGCCUUGAGAGGCUACUCUGUACUUCCGCCGCCAGGGCCGCCUUGUGCUCCUCCGUUCGGAGAGAGCGUUCGGUGUUUCCGUUUACCGUGAUGACUCCGCGAGGUCCUGGCAUCUUGAGCUUGAGAUAUGCGUAGUGCGGCACCGCAUUGAAUUUUGCAAAUGUGGUUCGUCCAAGCAGGGCGUGAUAGCCGCUGUGGAAUGGGACUAUGUCGAAGAUUAACUCCUCGCUCCGGAAGUUAUCCGGGGAUCCGAAGACCACUUCGAGUGUAAUCGAGCAUGUACAGCUGGCCUCUACCCCUGGUAUGACACCUUUGAAGGUUGUCUUUGUGGGUUUAAUCCUUGAAGGAUCGAUGCCCAUUUUUCGCACUGUGUCCUGGUAAAGCAGGUUCAGGCUACUACCGCCGUCCAUUAGGACUCUGGUAAGGUGAAAUCCGUCGAUAAUUGGGUCUAGGACCAGUGCGGCGAAUCCGCCGUGACGGAUGCUGGUGGGAUGGUCCCUUCGAUCGAAGGUGAUCGGGUAGGAGGACCAUGGGUUGAACUUUGGGGCGACUGGCUCCAGCGCAUAGACGUCCUUGAGAGCACGCUUCCGCUCCCUUUUGGGGAUGUGGGUUGCGUAUAUCAUGUUCACCGUCCGAACUUGCGGGGGAAAUCCCUUCUGUCCUUUGUUGUUCGGCGGCUGGGGCCCCUCCUCGUCAUCGCUAUGUAGCCCCUUGUCUCUGGUCUCGGCACUUAACUUGCCUGCCUGCUUGAACACCCAACAAUCCCUGUUGGUGUGAUUGGUUGGCUGUUCGGGGGUGCCGUGUAUCUGGCACGAGCGAUCGAGUAUCCGGUCUAAGCUGGAUGGGCCCUGAGGGUUUCUUUUGAAUGGCUUCUUCCGCUGACCCGGUUUAGAGCCUCUGAAUCCGGCAUUGACUGUCGUAUCUUCAGUAUUGUCACCGUUAAUGCGGCGCUUAUGCUUGUUGCGACAUGACCUGUCGUUGUUAUCCUUGGUAUCCGAAUUGCCGGGGCUCUUGGUUAUGUUAUUGCUACGAGCUAGCCAGCUGUCUUCUCCCGCACUGAAGCGGGUCAUGAGUGUCGUGAGGGCUGCCAUAGACUUCGGCUUUUCCUGUCCUAGGUGUCGGGUAAGCCAUUCGUCUCAGAUGUUGUGCCUGAAGGCUGCAAGGGCCUCGGCAUCCGGACAAUCGACUAUUUGGUUUUUCUUGGUUAGGAACCGUGUACAGAAUUGUCUGGCCGAUUCCUCUGGCUGCUGGAUUAUGUGGCUUAGGUCAUCGGCGUCUGGUGGUCGCACAUACGUGCCCUGGAAGUUGUCAAGGAAUGCGGAUUCCAGGUCCUCCCAACAACUAAUUGACUCUGCUGGCAGGCUGUUAAGCCAAUGUCGAGCUGGUCCUUUAAGCUUGAGCGGGAGGUAUUUGAUGGCGUGUAGAUCAUCACCACGGUCCAUGUGGAUAUGAAGGAGAUAAUCCUCGAUCCAUACCGCAGGAUCUGUUGUGCCAUCGUAUGAUUUGAUGUUUACGGGUUUGAAGCCCUCGGGGAUUUGAUGAUCCAUUACUUCGUCUGUGAAGCAUAGUGGGUGUGCGGCGCCCUGUACUGGGCUAUAUCACGAUGCAGCUCAGACGAGCUUGGUCUGUUGUAUUCGGUCGGGCCAUACUUAUUGUGUCCGGCGUGAUGGCUAGCGUCACGUGAAGCAGUGCGCCCAUGCGAUCCGUAGAUCGAUCUUGUUUGCCUUGCCUUAUUCUCCAAUGUGUCUUGCAGGUCUGUUGCGUCUCCCCGUACUCUGGUAUGUUUUGAGCGGUGUCGGGGUGCGGCUUGGGUUGAGGGCCUGAAGACCUCUCUAUCGCGGCCACGGGGUGGCCGAUCGGGCGCAUCGUACGCUGGUGAUGUACGUUUAGUUGCUUCCUCCUCAAGUUGGGGUAGCAGCCUGCGCUUUGGGCAGCUCUUGGAUGGGCGUUCUAGUUUAUACUCUUCGGCCGCUAGGACUUCGGUCCAUCUGUCGGCUAGCAAGUCUUGGUCAGCUCUAAGCUGCUGCUGUUUCUUCUUGAGGCUGCUUGCCAUGGCUACGAGCCUGCGUUUGAAAUGCUCUUGUUCGACGGGAUCCUCUGGCACGACGAAUUCGUCGUCGUCGAGGCUUGCCUCGUCUUCGGAGGGAGGCAUGUAAUUGUCAUCCUCAUCCUCUUUGUCGGCCGCUCUCUCAUGAGGGCUGGCUCCUUCGUCCUCCUACACUGAAUCCUGCUGGAGGGGGUUGUCUUCGGCACUGUCCGGCGUGUUGUUAUCUCCGGUGCCGGAAUCGCCGUUUUUGCUUUGGCGGGACUUAGAGCGGUGCCGCUGACGUCGGCGCUUGGGUUUCUUCUUGGAGGGGUCAUCCUCCGUUUUCUCCUCGCCAUCCCCCGCUUUAGGGGUGUCCACCAUGUAUAUGUCAUAUGACGAGGUGGCUUUCCAGUUCCCUAUAGGUGCUGGUUCUUGAUCGUCUCCUUCAUCGGCGUCCAUGCUGUCGGUGUCUUCGGAGUCAAAGUCGAGCAUGUCGGUUAAAUUGUCGACAGUGGCUACGAAGUGGGUGGUGGGUGGGCUACGAAUUUCUUCGUCGUCCGCAUCCCAACCGUGCUGGUCGUCGUUCGUCCAGGGCCCUCCUGACAAAGAGAGAUACUUUAACGAAUUCAGGAUAUUGCCGAAAGGCGAGCGCUGAAAGACAUCCGCGGCGGUGAACUCCAUGACCGGAGCCCAAUCGGGCUUAAUCGUAAGAGGUGCAGGAUUUACGGAGUCCGGAUCGGAGUCCGGCACCUUGGAGUCACGGGCCUUGCGAGGGACUAGGCUGGUAUCCGGCUCUAUCGCCGUAGAGGUUGCAGCUUCCCGGGCGGCAUCCAACCGUCCGUCCCCGACUGGCGCAGUGGGCUCCGAGCUAAUGGUCGGAGCGGACACCUGAGCGACGCUCUGGGUGUUGUCCGGUGACAGAGCUAAAUCAUGCCCAUCGUGACAGUGCGGCACGCCCAGUCGUGGCUCGAAUCCGUCGAAGAUCAAGUCCCCGCGGAUGUUGGCCGUGUAGUUUAAGCUUCCAAACCUGACCUGAUGGCCAGGGGCGUAGCUUUCGAUCUGCUCCAGAUGGCCGAACGAGUCGGCCCACAGUGCAAAGCCGCCGAAUACGAAGAUCUGUCCGGGGAGAAAAGUCUCAUCCCGGACCGCAUCGAGAUUGACGAGCAAAGAAGCCAUCGGGCCUAAAGGCGACGACACAGAGGAACUCUCAAUGAAAGCACCAAUGUCGGUGUCAAAACCGGCGGAUCUCGGGUAGGGGGUCCCGAACUGUGCGUCUGGGCGGAUGGUAACAGGAGACAAGGGACACGAUGUUUUUACCCAGGUUCGGGCCCUCUCGAUGGAGGUAAAACCCUACUCCUGCUUGAUUAAUGUUGAUGAUAUGGGUAGUACAAGAGUAGAUCUACCACGAGAUCGGAGUGGCUAAACCCUAGAAGCUAGCCUAUGGUAUGAUUGUUGUUCGUCCUACGGACUAAAACUCUCCGGUUUAUAUAGACACCGGAGAGGGCUAGGGUUACACAUAUAAUGGGAGGAGAUCUUCAUAUCGUAUCGCCAAGCUUGCCUUCCACACCAAGGAAAGUCCCAUCCGAACACGGGACAGAGUCUUCAAUCUUGUAUCUUCAUAGUCCAGGAGUCUGACCAAAGGUCUUAGUCUGGCCAUCCGGACACCCCCUAAUCCAGGACUCCCUCAGUGACCACAGGUCCCCAAGUGAAUAUCAUUGAGGAUCAUUCGGCCUUCUUCUAGCGUGAUGCACUUCUGGCAGAUUCCAGUUACACUUUCUCUAAACAACUGACCUCUUAUCACGGUGAAGGCUUUAGACCGUCGGACGAUCUGUCGAGCCUCUUCUUAGUCCUCCGGAAGUUCUUUCCUAAGGAUGUAUGCGAUGUACGACACUGUCCAGUCAGGGGUGAUGACCAAAACCUCCAUGACCAAGUCGACCACGGAUGGGACUUCGACUUCAGUCGGAUCUGUAGCGCUCUUGGGUUGUGGUGACUCUUCAGUGAAAGGAUCCUCUUGAACUGAAGGUGAAUGAAUAUGUUCCAAAAACACAUUGCGAGGAAUGGCCUCUCUCUUUGAACCUAUCUUUGCCAACUCAUCUGCAGCUUGAUUUUUCAGUCGGGGUAUAUGGUGAAGCUCCAAUCCUUCAAACCUCUUUUCCAGCUUUCUUACUGCAUUGCAAUAACCAGUCAUGGCCGGGCUCCUGACAUCCCAUUCCUUCAUUACUUGAUUAACCACCAAAUCUGAGUCACCGUAGACCAUAAGGCGACGGACGCCGAGUGAAAUUGCCAUAAGCAACCCGUAUAAAAGCGCUUCAUAUUCGGCUUCAUUAUUGGAAGAAUCACAAUAAAUCUGGAGAACAUAGCUAAGUUUGUCUCCACAGGGGGAUACCAGUACUACCCCGGCACCUGAACCAUUCAGCAUCUUGGAGCCGUCGAAGAACAUAGUCCAAUGCUCCGAUUGGACUUGAGUUGGCAAUUGUUUCUCAAUCCACUCGGCAAGGAAAUCUGUGAUUGCUUGGGACUUGAUAGCUUUCUUUGCCUCAAACUUGACAUCCAAUGGAAGGAUUUCAAUCGCCCAUUUUGCCACUCGACCGGUUACAUCUCUGUUAUUCAGAAUCUCGGAUAGUGGUGUGUCGUUGACGACUGUAAUGGAGUGAUCGGAGAAAUAAUGUGCAACCUUCUUCAUGGUCAUGUAUAUUCCAUAGACAAGCUUCUGAUAAUCUGGAUAUCGUUGCUUGGAUGGAGUCAAAACUUCAGAAAGAAAAUAAACCGGGCGCUGAACCUUGUAAGCUUUUCCUUCCUCUACUUGCUCAACCGUAAGUAGUGUACUGACAACUUGUCGAGCGGCUGCAAUAUAAAUCAGUAAGGGCUCUUUGCUGAUUGGUGCAGCUUGCACCGGCUGGGUGGAGAGCAGGGUUUUGAGCUCUGCAAAUGCUGCAUCAGCUUCUUCAGUCCACUCGAACUUAUCAGAUUUCUUCAUCAGUCGGUAAAGGGGCAAGGCCUUUUCACCGAGACGAGAAAUGAAUCGACUCAAGGUGGCCAAACAACCAGUCAACUUCUGAACGUCAUGCACUCGCACAGGGCGUUUCAUUCGGAGGAUGGUAUCAACUUUUUCCGGAUUAGCGUCGAUCCCUUGUUCGGAAACGAGAAAACCGAGUAACUUUCCUCCUGGAACUCCGAACGUGCACUUCGAUGGAUUAAGCUUGAUAUCGUACCUUCUUAGGUUGGCAAAGGUUUCUGUGAGGUCAGUCAGUAGGUUGGAACCUUUGCGAGACUUGACCACAAUGUCAUCCAUGUAUGCUUCCACAUUCCGACUAAUUUGAGUGAGCAGGCACUUCUGAAUCAUUCUCAUGAAUGUGGCUCCGGCAUUUUUGAGACCGAAUGGCAUGGUGACAUAGCAAAAGCACCCGAACGGGGUGAUGAAAGCCGUUUUUAUUUCAUUGGGACCAUACAGUCGGAUCUGAUGAUACCCAGAAUAUGCAUCCAAAAAAGACAAGGGCUCGCACCCCGCGGUCGAGUCGACAAUUUGAUCGAUGCGGGGGAGAGGGAAGUGAUCCUUCAGGCAGGCCCGAUUGAUAUGCUUGAAAUCAAUGCACAUACGAAGUGAGUCGUCCUUCUUAGGGACCAUGACGACAUUGGCAAGCCACUCGGAGUGGUAGAUCCCACGGAUGAACUCUGCUGCUAGCAGCCGAGCCACCUCCUCGCCAAUUGCUUUCCUCUUCUGCACGGCGGACCGCCGAAGAUGCUCUUUGACGGGUUUUACCUUGGGAUUGACCCGCAAACGGUGCUCAGCCAGUCCCCUGGGAACACCCGGCAUGUCAGAGGGUUUCCAUGCAAAGAUGUCCCAGUUCUCAUGGAGGAACUGGAUGAGCGCUUCUUCCUAUUUGCUGUCGAGUGUUGUUGAUAUAUGAGUCGGUGCAGCAUUGGGAUCGGUCGGGUGAAUAUGAAUCAGCUUUGUUUCACCAGUCGACAGAAAUGCAGAAUCUGUAGUAGGCUUCUUGGCUCGGAGAAAAUCACUCAGAUCUGCAUUCUUCUGAUACUGUUGGAAUUCAACUGCUGCCAUCUGCGCAUUGGCGAUCUUGGAACCUUUCUGGAAACAUUCCUCUGCAUUCUGCCGAUUGCCAGUAACCAUGAUCACACCUUUGGGGCCACGCAUCUUCAGCUUGAGAUACACAUAUGGUUGAGCCAUAAAAUGUGCAUAGGAUGGCCUACCCAGAAUGGAUGAUAAGCACUCUGGAAAUCCACGACUUCAAAUGUCAACUUCUCCUUACGGUAAUGUUUGGAAUCACCGAAAACCACGUCGAGGGUGAUCUGGCCGAGUGAUUCGGCUUUCUUUCUAGGGAUAACACCAUGAAAACUCAUGUUGCUCUCGCUAAGUUUGGACAUCAGAAUGCACAUCCCAGGUUUCAGCAUAAAGGAUGUUCAGACCACUGCCACCGUCCAUCAGUACUUUAGUCAGUCUAGUACCUCCAACCACAGGGUCGACCACCAGUGCUUGCCUCCCGGGGGUGGCUACAUGAGCAGGAUGGUCAGACUGGUCGAAUGUGAUGGAUGUCUGAGACCAUUUCAGGUAUGUGGCCGUCGCCGCCGGAGCGACCAUAUUCACUUAUCUGUUGAUGACUUUCAAUCGACUCUUGCUCUCAACGUCAGCAAAAAUCAUUAGGGUUGAAUUGACUUUAGGAUAACCGUCGUCUUCUUCCUCAUCCUCGUCUCUAUCCGACUCCUUUCCUUUUUCACUGGGUUGAUCUCCUCGGGAUUGCUGGAUCAGGAGUCAACACUGUCGAGUAGUGUGUUUAGGGUAAAUCAGAUUCCCCUCUUCAUCCUUCUUCAUGUGGAUGUGACACGGUAAAUCCAACACAUCAUUUCCCGCCUGAUCUUUCACUUUCUUAGGGGGCAGGGUCCCUUAGGUUUUCCCUUAAACUUUCCUUGAGCCACCACUGCGAUCUCACCGGGUGCAGCGGGCUCGGCCUUGCGCUUCUGCUUCCGAUUGGAAUUACCCCCAUCGGUCUCUUGGCCGAGUGGCUUACUCUUUCCGCUAUGGAGUCGAUCCUCUUCUUCCCCGUUAGCGUACCGAGUGGCUAUUUCCAUCAUCCGAGUCAGAGUCAUAUCACCAGUUCGACCAAAUUUCAGGACUAACUGUUGGUAUUUAACGCCCUCCUUGAAGGCGCACACUACUUGAUGCUCUGAUAUAUUUUCAACGGUGUAAUGCAGAGUGGACCACCUCUGAAUGAAAUCUCUCAAGGUCUCACUCGGCUUCUGCACACAAUGUUGCAACUCAAUCAAUCCUGCAGGUUGUUUGCACGUGCCUUCGAAGGUCCUGACGAAUACUCGAGCCAGCUCUUCCCAACUGUAUAUACUGCUCGGGGCUAACUGAGUCAACCACGCUCGGGCUGAGCCUUCCAACAUCAGAGGGAGAUGUUUCAUUGCUACUUCAUCAUUUCCACCGCCAAUCUGCACAGCCACUCAGUAAUCCUCAAGUCAAGUUUCAGGCUUGGAUUCUCCAGUGAACUUGCUGACUUGGGUCGCCAACCUGAAGUUGGGAGGAAUCACCGCCGCCCUGAUGGCCCUGCUAAAACACUCCGGACCGGAAACAUGCACUCUGCUGCCGCCUGGACAAUCUCUGCCAGGGUCUUCUCUGUGUGCCUUGUUCCGGUCGACCAGGCCUUGAACGAGGAUGGAUCUCGCGUCAAAGCCUGGUUCCCUUGGGUGGACUGAGGCUCUGCGCUCGCCACUGUGACGGCGUCUGUCAUCGUUCCGCCGAGGCACAAAUGACGCACUCCUCGGAGGAGGCAUGGGUCCUCGACGAUGAUUGUCGCGGUCGAGUGGAUGAUCAUACUGUCCGCGGCCCUCAUGUCGCAGGGGCGAUCUUGGGCUGUGGGCCGACUGAACUGUGUCCGCUACAACGGACCUGCUGUGAAUCCUAUUCCGUGACUGAGAGACUGCUGUGUUUUGCUCUCCUGCUGCCCGAAGCAAGGCCCAGAUCUGCAUCAACCCUCUGCCGGCCUCCGACUGGGAAGGUUGGAUUGACUCUGCUAUUCGGGCCGCAGAUGUGAGGUUCUGGAUCGGAGUACGGUAUACCUUAGGUGGAGGCGGAAAAAGCUAUCGUCGACUGGACUCAUGGAUCCGCUCCUGAGCGCGCUCGUCGAGAGCGCGCUGAAGGUUAUCCAGUCGAGUGCGCUCAGCCAAAUUAGCUAGGUGCACCUCCUCCAAGGCCCGGGCCUCGGGGGUUUCUCCAACGAUGGGCGUGUGGAGUGCAUCCAUGUUGCGGCGACGAAGUUCUUCCCACUGUUGCGAAGAGAGGGGUUCGAUCGGUAUUCCUCAUGGACGUGCGACGGAUCGCCGCCCCCGUCUCCGCCGUCCUUACGGCGGAAACCAGGUGGGCUGUGAGGCCCGUCGACCAUCAAGACUUCAGCCGCAGGGUCGUUGCUAUCGCACUUGGAUGCGGUCUCCACGGAGCCAGUCGACAGAUCGAACAUGCCAUGGAGAGUUUCGUCGGGCUCGAUUGCCGCGACUUGAUGGGUGGCCGAACGCCGAGCCAUCACGUGCUUCACCCACCGCUGAAGCCGUGAUCGACCGGACCGCUUGCGGCGGCGAACAGCGGGGAGUGAAAACACCAUUGGAGCCGACUGAUACUGAGUCGACGGCUGCCGGAGGAGAACGCCGCGAACACACGCUCGGAAGUGCGUCGCCCCUCGGGCGGGGAGCGCCUCAAUGUCCAGGGGAGCUUCUUGAAGCCACGCGGAGUCGUCGGCGAUGAAAACGAGCGCGCCGAGACAGAUCUCGCGGCCCUCAGCCAAUCCGCCGCCGGAAACCAUGACGAUGACGAUCGGUAAAAUUUGCAACUUCACCAACUGUCGUGGUCCUAAGACUGAUAGUAGAAAGGGGGGUAGGUAUGGUGAGACAAGAUCUCAGCUAUGGUGAAGGUGUACACACGAGAUUUACGAGUUCAGGCCCUUCUCGGUGGAAGUAACAACCCUACGUCUCGGUGCCCGGAGGCGGACGAUUGGAUUAUGCGUGUGGUAUUACAGGGGGUGCCAACCCUUGUCCCAGAGGAGGGGGGUGGCUUAUAUAGAGUGCGCCAGGACCCCAGCCAUCCUCCAUUACAAGGGGCUUAAUGUACAUAAAGUAAGGGCGUUACUGAUAACGCCAACCUUAAGUGUUGCCCGUUGCAAUGCUGAGUGACUCCUGGCCUUCGAUAGGUCGAGUGAUUCUCUGGAUGGUCGAGUGAUAGUUUGGGGGAGGACGCCCGAGUGACCCGACUGUCGAGUGGAUAGCACUCGACAUCUUUGCCUGGGGGCCUCCAGCUGUCUCUUGGACUCCUUAUCUUCUAGGGUAGUGACCUUGGGUAGGGCGUGUAGGUCUGGCCUAUGACCCUACCCCAGGCCUGUAUCCUCAUCACGUACCAGUCAAUUUGACGCCUGUGGAGCCGUGAUCCCUCCAAAAUCGAGACAUCUCUUUGUGCUCUGUUUGUCUUUUUAGAGCGGAAGAGCAUCCAUCACUUGCCCUGAGUCUUUUUUUUUGCGGGAAAAUUAGAGAGCUUUAUUCAUUGAAAGCACACUCGGUGCAGUCAGCCAAUAGGCUGGUCACCAAGAAGCUAGGGGUUUCAUCGAGCCAGCUUUCCGUCACAUUCAGUGUGCAAGCACGCUUCGCACACAGAUGUGCCGGAACGUUCGCCGCCCGAUUUAUAUGUCGAAUGUCAAAAGAAGAAAAACUAGUACAGAGCUCUCCUAUUUCUAAAAGUAAAGGAGCCACAAUUGAACGAGAAUUGUGGCGAGAUUGCCAGAACUUCACCAGUUCCAAACAGUCGACUUCCAUACACACAUGCGGAAAUCCUCGAAGACAAGCAAAGCGUACUCCAUCUCACAGCAACACGCACUCCAUCAUCAAGGGAUCUGAAACUCCCAUGUAUGGUUUGCACCAAGAACCCAGUAGUGCAGAGGAUGAUCGGGCCACUCCUCCUGCACCGCCCCGGCCUUCAUCAAAAUUCAGAGCGCCGUCGAUUGUGAUCUUGACCGAACCCACAUCCGGGGGCCGCCAACCGUAACCUGGUAGAACCAAGAUUUCCUUACGAGGUAGCUGAAGGAGGGAGAUAGACUCCUUAAUAUUUCUGAUAGUUGUUGUAGGGUCUCUCCCCUCGUCGCCAUGUUUGAUUCGGUUCCUGGAAUGCCAAAUUGACCACAUGGUAGUAGUGAUCUUGGCAUGUUCAUCGGAUGCGGAAAUCCUCGAAGACAAGCAAGCAUACUCCAUCUAGCAGCGACAAGCACUCCAUCAUCAAGGGAUCUAAAACUCCCAUGUAUGGUUUGCACCAAGAACCCAGUAGUGCAGAGGAGUAGUGCAGAGGAUGAUCGGGCCACUCCUCCUGCACCGCCCCGGCCUUCAUCAAAAUUAGAGCACCGUCGGUUGUGAUCUUGACCGAACCCACAUCCGGGGGCCGCCAACCGUAACCCGGUAGAACCAAGGUUUCCUUACGAGGUAGCUGAAGGAGGGAGAUAGACUCCUUAAUGUUUCUGAUAGUUGCUAUAGGGUCUCUCCCCUCGCCGCCAUGUUUGAUUUGGUUCCUAGAAUGCCAUGACCACAUGGUAGUAGUGAUCUUGGCACGUUCAUCGGAUGAGUGGAGAGGGGGAAGGCAAAGACCAAGCCAUGUCCACGCCUCUUCCCAGAAGCUCUGUGCAUGUGUACAAUGAAUCAGUGCAUGCUUCAAAUCACUUGCCCUGAGUCUUUUUAAAGAUGAUCUCGAUAUGAACUACACACAGAUGUAGUGCAUGCUUCAAAUCACUUGCCCUGAGUCUUUUUAAAGAUGAUCUCGAUGUGAACUACACACAGAUGUAUACGGACGUAUUUUAGAGUUUAGAUUGAACGGAGGGAGUAGAUAUAAACAUGCAUAUGGUCCAUCGGAACUCCACUUUCUGUUGGUUACUCAUACGAGACCAUUAACCCGGACGGAGGUAGUGUAUAUAAAAGCGAUAGCAAAAAGAAUACUAAUGUUUUUAUGCUAGGGAAAUUGGGCACAAUACACGUUCAAACUCAGUUUCAGCACCCUCCUGAUUUAACCAAAAUUUGCCUCCGUGAAAUGAUCUCAACAUCAUAAAUUUCCUGCUUAUGAUGUGUCACAAAUUCACAAACAGAUUGAGCUCGUCGUCAUUGCAUGUUAACCAAAACCUAGCCAAGUUAGGAAGAUGUCAAACUCAACAAAGGACAUAAAACUAUAUAGAAUCCAAACAUGGGUAAACCUCAUCUGAUCUUUGCAUAAGUCUGGAGAACGGAACAGAGAAUCAGAAAACCACAAUACGAUUCCACAGUGCUGCUAAAAGGGUUCGAGUUCCUCGUCAAAAUCAGGACACACUGAAAGGGAAACUACAUGGCAUAUGCUCUCGCAUAUAAGGCUAGGCUUAGUUCAUCCUCUGCGCAGCCUCCUUGGCGAUGAGCCUUUCCCUGGCCUUGGUCUUGGCCUGCGACUUGGAUCCCAU
RNAcentral lists this long non-coding RNA (74126 nucleotides) under Triticum aestivum (bread wheat). Its description in RNAcentral is "long non-coding RNA (TAES_LNC007557)". The stretch from base 31499 to 31554 matches the Rfam family "tRNA", at positions 10 to 63 of the family's 71-position model. Lineage: Eukaryota; Viridiplantae; Streptophyta; Magnoliopsida; Poales; Poaceae. The record is from RNAcentral.